This 75791-nucleotide long non-coding RNA is filed under the name Eucalyptus grandis. Its description in RNAcentral is "long non-coding RNA (EGRA_LNC004238)". Lineage: Eukaryota; Viridiplantae; Streptophyta; Magnoliopsida; Myrtales; Myrtaceae. The record is from RNAcentral.
CUUUUCAUUCUGAUGUAAGGCAUCAUAGCUAAUCUUUAGUUUUGCCAAGACAUCCUCAUGAGGUGUUUUCUUUAGCCUCUCUAGCCACUCUUCCCAUAGCUCUCUCUUUUUCCCAAAAAGUGAUGAACCAAUUGCUUGAAGAGCUAAAGGUAGUCCACAUGUAGUAUCGACGAUGCCCUUUGAAAAAGCGCAAUAAUCAGCUGGAGGAGAGUCUUCAUUGAAGGCAUGCCUACUAAAAAGUUUAAGUGCAUCUUUACUGAUCAACCCCAUCAUUUCAUAAUCCUUAAAUUCAUACUUAAGUUUCCUGUUAGUCAAAACGUUCUUGUCCCUGGUGGUAACAAGUAUUCUACUACCUCGAUGCAAAGAUUUCUCUCCGAUUAGUUGUAGGAUCUGGUUGGCCUCAUCAACAUCAUCCAAUACAAUUAGCACCUUCUUGUUGGAAAUUGUUGCUUCAAUCGUAUCAAUCCCUUCAUCAAUCUUAUUAAUUUUGUGAGCCACUCCAGAAUAAGAGAUAUCAGACAAUAAUUUUUUUUGUAGCUCGACUAUGUUCUUGUUUUUUGCCGUUUCCCUCACGUCAUCAAGAAAGCUGCAGUUUCUGCCAAAUCGAGGACAUAGUUCGUUGAAGAUAGUCUUGGCGAGUGUUGUUUUACCGAUGCCGCCCAUCCCGUAGAUUCCAAUGAACUGCACAUCAUCAGAAUCAAUGUCUAAUAAUUUCUUUAUGUUCGCUAUUUGAUCUUCCAUUCCAACGAAAUCUCCGGUUACGCGUCUCCGUUUUGUCUUGAGCUUGGCCACAACCUCGUCAACAAUAGCCUGGAUGAGUUUUAAAGGGCUGCCACAAAGUUGAACAGUUUCAAUUGAGCAAACGUGACAAAUUUGCAUAUUGACCAUCUACUAACCAACCGGGUGGGGACGCGAUCAAGUUCAAAAAUAUAGAAGAGAAAUGUUUGAUCUUUAUAUCAGGUAGAAGAAUCAGAAUUUCUGGCAAAAAAAGGUAGAAGAAUCAAAAUAUAAACAUCUAAUGAAUUGAUGUACUGGAAUAUUUACUUAAAUAAAAAAAUGGCAGCCCGAUUAUACAAAAUAAUUUUCACAAUCAUGGUUAGAUUAUUACCUUGAAUGUUUCUCCACCUCCCAUCCCUUGAUGCCACCAACUUCUAUGAGAGACUCCCGCCACGUCUUUAUAUUCUCGGAGCUGAACUUAUGCUCCUGAUCCUCCAUCUCUUGCUCCAAAUUCGAUAUGACAUCCUUGUAUAACGGUGUUUGCAGCUUCACAUCUUUGGGCUUCACAUCAUAGAAGAUGGGCAAUAUGACCUUCUCUUUCCCAUCUUCUUUAUGUUUAGAUGUGUUCUCCACCAUUUUCGCAAGCUCGUCAAGGCACCAGUGACUUGACGCGUAAUCUCUGGAGAAAAUGGGUAUGUAAAGCUUGCAACUGCCGAUCGCUUGCAAAAGGUUGCUAAUUUUUUCACCAUGUUGAAGCCCUUUGUCAUCGAUGAAACACGAAUCCCGGCAUCUACCAAGGCUUCGUGGAGGAUAUUGGUGAAUGAAAGACGAGUAUCAGGCCCUCUAAAACUCAGGAAAACCUGGUAUUCACCUCCUACCGUGUUGCUGGUGCUUGUCACUGUCUCUGAGUUUGCCAUAGGAGCUCACUUCGCACUUAACAACGUCAACCCUCUCACCUCGUCUCCGAGUUCGCAAUAUGACAUUUCACAUAUUUGAAUCCGAUCCCAUUUGCCAUCCAAAACGCGGAUAGGCAACUUCGUAGCAGGUGCUGUUUCUAGUUUACAGUCAAUCAAGUUGAUGACUUCAAAAAAUAAAAAUAAGGCGAAGGACAAUAAUGGAGAUUCACCUUUUUACACGCCCAAUGUCCUUCGAGUUUCUCCCUUGUCCUUUUCACUUUGUGCUUUUGAAAAAGAAAAAUACGGUGGAGGACAAUAAUGGAGGUGCACCUUUUUGCAUGCCCAAUGUCUUUCGAGUUUCUCCUUUUUGUUUUUUACUUUGUCUUGAUCUCUCCGCCUUGAAAACUUACCUUUAAUUAUAACCAACUUCCUUUAACAACUGAAUUAUUGUCGUAAAAUGUGCCUUUAUAUUAAAAAAUAAAUGAUCAUUUAUUUCCUACUAACAACCAUUAGAAUGUGAGCAUGGUGUAGUUAGUGCAGUUUGGAUGUCAAAUCAAGCCAAACUAUAUAAAUAUAUUUUGAGUUUGAGCACCUCGGAUGAAAUAGGAUCAGAUGAGAAUUAUAGGCGCUCGGCCACUGUUCAAAAUUGGUGAGAGGAAGUGCAGUGAUGGCUUGUCAAUGGCCAUGAUCCCAGUCCAUUGCGGUAUUGCUUUGAGCACGAAAGAAAGAAAGAGAAACCAUGAUGGUCCUGACCACAAGAGACGGCUUUUGCUCAGCUGAAGAAGGAGAAAACGAGAUCAAUGAUGGCCAUUGCCGAUAAUGGGCCGAAAGGGAAGAAGACGAAGAAAGUUGCAAGGACGGUGUCUUUUCAUGUUGGCCACUCAUUGUUUCCUUACUUCUUUAUUUGGUUCCGCUGAAUUUCCUCUUAAGUUCCAGGAGGAAGAGCUCUCGAAGUCAUAGAGAUUAGAGAGCUCUGAAGGCUGCACAAAGCAUAUCAAAAAGCGUGUCGAGAGUUCCUCUCGAUUACACCAAAUAUUUAUGUUCUAAAGAGGGUUAAAUCUUUCGUUAAGAUUUGCCACAUACUUUUAAGAGAUUGAGAAAUUUUUUCAAGAGAAAUUUUGAAGGCUAAACAUUUUAUGAAUUACUGAGUAUAACUAGGAUUUGAAAAUACCAAAGUAUUUAAAUGACUCACGUAUGAUUAUAAAUUUCGUCAUAUCUUUUAAUUUAUAAUUGAAUUUUGUACUACUCUAUCAUGAAUGUAAGUCAUAAACUGAAUCACGUAAAUUUAAUAUCUGAUUCAUUUCUUUGUUUUUUACAUUUUAUUCAUUUUUUUUUCCAAAAAUGAAUAUGGUUCGAAGGAAGUGAGACCCAACUAAAAGAUAUUCAAUAUGAUCAGUAUUAGGGGGUAUUGUUCUUUUAUUGCCAUUUUGUCCAUUGAAUCGCUCGAGGCCGUGUGUACCUUUCACUUUCCUUCCUUCAUUUUCCAUGAUUCUAUGGUCACAUAUAUUUUAUUUAUUUAGUUUUGGGCGCAACAUAUCAAUAAGUCUUUGCAUUAUUUGACAUAGAUUUUCAAGACGUUUGUUAGAGAUACAUUUUUUUAAUUAGCAUGUUUAACAUAAAUCAUUUUCAUAUUUCAUCUUUUAAUAAUUUUUCAUGAGAAAUUGAAAAUCAUUAGGAAUAUUAUCCUUCGAAAUUUGAAGUAACGAAGCUCAGAUAGAGCCAAGCCGCAAUUAUUUAUUUUUUGGCUUGUUUUAUUUAUAAAUGUCUUUCAUGGCGUUAUUGGUUGCUUUGACUUGUUGACUAAAUCGGUGCACUGUACGAAGUCUUCGAGAGGAUGGCUUGUCCACAUUUAUUUUAUCUCAUUCAUAACACUAGUAUCCAAAUCAUUGGACUCAAUUAACACCGAUUUAUAAACGCAAACCACUCCAUCCACAUACGUUAGAUUAGUUCCAUUCACAGGAUGGCUAGCAAGACACUCUAGCAAUGAGUAAGAGACACCAUGAUCAAAUUUGAACAAAAUAUUGUUUCAAGAAUAGCGUUCAAAAUACACGUAAUGCACUCAUGACGGUUUAUAGGAACUUAACUCUGCACAACAAUCCUUUCUAUCACAUGGCAAUCGGAUAUAAUAACUAUGGUCAUAUUCGAUGCACUACUUUGUUCAACUUAGUGACACCUUAUGAAAACGCUAUGGAAAUGUACAUCCUAUGCUUUCAAGCCAUUGCCUCAAACAAUUGAAAUACACGUGCAUGAUUACUUUUUAGUAAAUUGGAAGAUCACCAUAUUACAGAAUCCCCAAAAGAUGCCAAAAUGCCAUUCAUCAAAAUCACACUUUUACCUGUUUAUCAAUCACACAUGUUGCGCGCAACUUUAAUAAAUCCAAAAGGUUUUAGGCAUGUGAAAAUCGAUGUUAUCGAACAAUUAGCUUUUGGACUUAUUGCUUUGAGAGCUAAAGGUAGGCCAUCUGCUGUAGAAACAAUGCCUUAUGAAAGAAUGUAGUAAUUGAUCAAAGGAGAGUAGUCAUUGAAUGUGUUAGAGAUAGUUAGAUAUCUUCUAGAGAUAUUUAGGAAAUUCCCUUUGAUUUUCUAUAUCUACUUUGAUUAUGUAUUUGUGAUUUAAUUUCCUUGGAUAGUCAUCUAUUGAAGCCUAUAAAUAGGCUCUCCAUGUAUUCUUUUCUAUAUAUCCUAGCAUACACAAAUUCUCAUUUUCUCUCUUCCAAUUUUUAACAUUUAACUCGGUAUUAGAGCUGAUGCACCGAUGCUCCCUAAGCACUCUAAUGCACAUCGCACACCGCCACUCAACAAUCAACGGCAUCCCCAUUGUGUGCACAAGUCUAAUCUAGGGAAGCACUAAAUUGAAUCCAUUCCUUGAUGGCCAUGUUUGGACGUCAACCGUACUGGCCGCGUUGCCCAAUGGAGCCUUUAUCACAAAAGUGGCUUUUCUUUCGAUGGCAGCUGCAUAAGCCACAUCACUCGGUGGCAAUUUUCCAAGCUAGUCAUAUGCCGCAUCAUUUAAUUACUAUUUCGCAAGCUAGCCGCAUCGACCGCUUGCUAUGUCCCAGUCAAUUCUCGAACUUUCGCUCGUUGUUUCCACAAGUCAACACCACUAUCAAACCCGCCGUCCUCAAACUAGCUAGAUUUGAAAGUUAUUUCAAACUCAAGCCUUAUUCGCCGUGAGUUUGAUGGAGGAUGUUAAAGAUAGUUAAAUAUCUUCUAGAAACAUUUUGAUAUCUCCUCCGAUUCUCUAUAUCUAUUUUCAUUAUGCAUAUAUAAUUUGUUUUCCUUUAAUUUCUCUAGAUAGUCAUAUAUUAAGGUCUAUAAAUAGGCUCUCUAUGUACUAUUUUAUAUAUAUAUAUAUAUAUAUAUAUAUAUAUAUAUAUAUAUAUGUAAUACAUACAAAUUCCCAAUUUUCUCUAUUCCCUUUUUCAACAUUUAACUGAAAGCAUGCCUACACAAAGGUUUAAGUGCUUCUUCAUUGCUCAACCCACAAAUUCAUAAUUUUGAAUUUUUACUUAAGCCGCCUCGAAUUGGAAUGCUAUUGUCCCCAAUGGCAACAACUAGUGGCAACAAGUAUGCUGGUACCAAGAUACAAAGAAUUCACUCUGAUUAGUUUUUGGAUAUGGUUGUCCUCAUCGACAUCAUCUAAUACAAUUAGUAUCUAUUAAUGUUUAUCAAUGUCACCACUCUAGAAUAUCAAAUAGCAGAUAAUAAUUUUUCUUGCAACUGGACUAAUAAGCCCUUAGUUACCCGGGUUUCCCUCAUGUCAUCAAAGCCGUAGUUUUUCCCAAAGCGAGGACGUAGUUCUCUAUCCGAGUGGGACAGAAGAAAUGCAAUGGUGGCCUGUCCAUGACGGUGAUGCCAUCACAUCAUGGUGUUGCUUUGAGCGAGGAAAGAAAGAGAGACCGUGCUGGCCUUGACCAUUAGAGACGACUUUGCUCAGCUGAAGAAAGGUAAAAGAGAGAUUGACGGUGGCCACGGCUGAUAUGAGACAAAGGGCGAAGGAAAACGACGAAGAAAGUUGCAAUAAUGGGGUCUUUUAAUGAUGGCUCCUCAAUUGUUUCCUUUCUUCUUCUUUAUUUGCUUCUAGGGGAAAGCAAAACGACGAAGAAAGUUGCAAUGAUGGUGUCUUUUAAUGAUGGUGUCUUUUAAUGAUGGGCCCUCAUUGUUUCCUUUCUUUUUCUUUAUUUGCUUGUAGUGAAUUUUCUUCAUUUUUCUAUUUAAAUAUGAAGAGGAAAGAGCCCUUAAUGAGAGCUUUGAGAACUGCACAGAGGAGAUUGAAAAUUUCCUCUUAAAAGUUUUGAUUCAAAAAAGGUUUUUUUUCGUGAAAUUACACAAAAGGAAGCCAGUCAAAUCUUCAGGUCAUUCUUUUCUUUUAUGAGAUUAAGAGAUUAUUUCGAAAAAAAUUAUGAGAGUUAAACACAGAGUGAUUAAUCAUAUUUGAAGGAUGCCAAGAAUAAAACUUCUCAUAGAUUCUGCCGUUCAUACAACAGUUUGGGUUUUCAUAAGUCGAGUGCUUCAACUUAGAAAGAAUGUUUCGCCUCAAGUAUAUCGUUCUAGGAAAGACGAGGGAAUCCAAUCAGUCAUUGUUAACCUUUACAUGAGGAUAUUGUCUCAUUCUAGCUGUUUGACAUGGUACAUGAGAAAGGAAAUAAUUAAGUCAUAACUCUGGUUCUAAAAAAUACUUAUCAUCAGAAUUAAAAGUCUUUAUGCUAGAUAAGUUUUAUCAAUUUUUGAAAUCAAUUUGGGAGAUUUUCUCAACAAUCUCCAUUUUGUUUAUAAUGACAAAACUUUCCAAGCAGAACUUAAGAAAAGAUUUUAAAAAGAUUUAGUAAUCAAAUAGCUAUAUUGAAAGCAAUGUUUUAGAUAAGGCACAAUGCAAAUUCUAUAAGAACUUUGCUGAUUUUGUAAAGAUAAGUACAAACUUCUUACAAAAUAUUGAGCUAAUUAGAGUGAAUAAGAUUUGUAAAGAAAUUCCUUGAUUUGUGAAGAAAUUCCUUACUUUGAUUAGAAUAGAUUUCAGAAAACUUCCUUUUUUUAUAUAGCUCCUCAUAGCAAGAUCACAAAAGAUCUUCAUCUACAUAUGGUGUUUUGCUUUUCUUGCAUUUUCUCUUUCUUUUUGUCAACAUCACAAAAGAGACAAUAAUAUUGGAAGGAGUAUCACAUAGAGAAUAUGCUAUUCAGCUCAUCUUCACACACAAUCUUUCAAAACAUAUUUAGCAUGAAACGAAAUUUUCAUAAACAUCUUAUAGAUGCUAGUGUGAACAUAAAAUAAUUGCAAUAUAGCUCAUGUUAUUAUAGAAUCAAAUACCAUAUACAUCAAUAAAUAUAUAUCAAUGAUAACAUAUGCAAUAUAUAAAUUUCAUAUACAUUUUUUAUCAUAAUAAAACGAUAAUGGAAAUAUGAGAUUUAUAAUGACAAAAGGUAAGUGAAGUAAGAAAUAUACUAACCAGAUCAUGUAGAAUUUAGCAAGUUCUAAUAGACAUUAUAUUUUCUUCCAUAAUCAAUAGGAGGCAAAAAUUAAAUCGACUUAAUUAGGAUUUUCUCACACUUAAUUUACACUCCCUUUCAAUUUAAUGCAACUAUGAGAUGAUCGCGGUUCUUCUCCUUUACUGUGCAUCCACUUUCUCAUUCUUUAAUAAAUUUAACAAAUUUUGCACCUAGAGGAGAAUUUUCGCUCCUUCGAAAAUGGUUUGGAAUCUUCGCAAUUUUUCGGAUCAAAUUUUCAAAAUUUUAGAUGAAAAGAUUAUUUGCCACCUGCAAUUUCUUGUAAAAGAGAUAGCAAUAUUUGCAAAAUAUAGAGUAUAUCACGUACUUUCCAUCCUUGAAUUCGCGGAUUAAUUUUGCCAGUUAGAAGAUAUGCUUCUAACAUAUAAAACCACGCAUUAAUUUCUUUCAAGAUUAAAAAGAUUCUAAUGUUUAAAAGAAAAUCUGAUUUUCAAAUGUUUAAAUCAUUUAUAAUUAUUCUAUAGCCAUGGUUAAACAUAUUUAUAUAGAUACAAAUGGAAUUUAUCUAUAUAUAUGCAUAAUAAGAAAAUAGUCCUAUAGAAAAGUUUAAGUUUAAGUGCAUUUCAAGUGAAAAGUUCGUUGUUCGUCAAAUUUCGACUGUUUUUUUGGAUUGGACAUUUUAGCAAUAAUAACAUUACAUUCAUUAAUGGGAAGAGCUUUUAUUACAUUCUUAAUGUGAAAAGCUUCUCCACCAUAUCAUCCUCCCUUAGAAAUUUACAAAAGAAGAGCAAGCCCAUUACAUUAAGAAAAAGGAGAAAAGGCUGUUUAUUGUAAGAUAUGACCACAAAAUUCUUGAUUUGAACACCCGAAGUCCGAUGCCACUUUCGUUAAUGAGAGACGACGUUUGUAUCGCGUGACUCACGACUUAAUUGAAAGUGACAGACAGGCAACUUCCCAGAAGCUGCAGCUUUUAAUUAAUAGUGAAUGAAGGUAACUUCCCAGAAGUUGCAGCUUUUAAUUAAUAGUGAAUGAAGUUGAUGGCUUCAGAAAAAACCAGGUGAAGGACAAUUAUGGAGAUGUACCACUUUUUUUGGUCGGUCGAGAUGUACAAUUAUGGAGAUGUACCAUUUUACACGCCCACUAUCUUUUUCGCCUUUCUUCUCGGCGCCUUUGAACUUUUGAAUUAAAAAAAAAAAAAACUCGAAUUUUCAAACGUUUAAGUCAUUUAUAAUUAUUCUAUAGCUAUAUAUAUAGAUAAAAUCACAAUCUAUAUAAAUGUAUAAUACAAAAAAAUAUCUUAAAGGAUCUCUCUCGUUAUGACAUAUGAGACUUUNNNNNNNNNNNNNNNNNNNNNNNNNNNNNNNNNNNNNNNNNNNNNNNNNNNNNNNNNNNNNNNNNNNNNNNNNNNNNNNNNNNNNNNNNNNNNNNNNNNNNNNNNNNNNNNNNNNNNNNNNNNNNNNNNNNNNNNNNNNNNNNNNNNNNNNNNNNNNNNNNNNNNNNNNNNNNNNNNNNNNNNNNNNNNNNNNNNNNNNNNNNNNNNNNNNNNNNNNNNNNNNNNNNNNNNNNNNNNNNNNNNNNNNNNNNNNNNNNNNNNNNNNNNNNNNNNNNNNNNNNNNNNNNNNNNNNNNNNNNNNNNNNNNNNNNNNNNNNNNNNNNNNNNNNNNNNNNNNNNNNNNNNNNNNNNNNNNNNNNNNNNNNNNNNNNNNNNNNNNNNNNNNNNNNNNNNNNNNNNNNNNNNNNNNNNNNNNNNNNNNNNNNNNNNNNNNNNNNNNNNNNNNNNNNNNNNNNNNNNNNNNNNNNNNNNNNNNNNNNNNNNNNNNNNNNNNNNNNNNNNNNNNNNNNNNNNNNNNNNNNNNNNNNNNNNNNNNNNNNNNNNNNNNNNNNNNNNNNNNNNNNNNNNNNNNNNNNNNNNNNNNNNNNNNNNNNNNNNNNNNNNNNNNNNNNNNNNNNNNNNNNNNNNNNNNNNNNNNNNNNNNNNNNNNNNNNNNNNNNNNNNNNNNNNNNNNNNNNNNNNNNNNNNNNNNNNNNNNNNNNNNNNNNNNNNNNNNNNNNNNNNNNNNNNNNNNNNNNNNNNNNNNNNNNNNNNNNNNNNNNNNNNNNNNNNNNNNNNNNNNNNNNNNNNNNNNNNNNNNNNNNNNNNNNNNNNNUUAUGAAGGUUAAAUAUAGAGUUAUUAGUGUAUUUGAGGGAUAAAAAACACAAAUUAUAUUUGAGUAACUCAAGUAUUAUUAUAAUCUCCAUUGCAUGUAAUUUCAUGGUUUUCAUUUCGUCGUGGACGUAGGUCACGUAACCGAACCACAUAUAUUUAGUGUUUGAUUUAUUUCCUUAUUUUGCAUUUUUAUUCAAGCACUUGUUUUAUUUCCAACAAUAAAUAUGGUUUGAAGAAAAGUGAAACCAAAUUAAACCAUAUUAUAGUCAAGAUCAAACCAAGCCAAACCAUUUUAUGUGGCUUGAUUCGGCUUAAUGGUUCUUUCUGCUUUUAUUUUACCUCUUCAUCAUAUGUAACCAAUUUUAUUUUACCUCUAAUGCUAUGAAUUAGAGCCAAACUAAUCCACAUUAUGCGAAAAUCAACGGUAGAUGAAUAAAUCUAUACGAAUAACCAAUUUUUUUCUCUACCGCUUUUUUUAGGGUGCAGUUUAGCUAACCGUCCUCUGUCAAAUGAUGGAGUGACAGUCAACUAAUAACCACACAAUUCGCAUGGAUUCCAUCUUUUACCCUUUUUUUUUAAUUUUAUGUUUUCUUAUUGCAAGCUUAAAUUGAGAGAUAAAAUCAUAAGAGGGCCCAUGCAAUCAAUUUUCAUGAAUAUUAUGAAAGAAAAAAUAAAUUAGAUAUCGAAAUAUAAAUAAUUAGAAGUAAAAAACAUUGUCAUCCACUAAAAAGAAAUCUUUCAUUUGAAUAACAUAUAUCGAACAAUAAUUUUUCUUGUGACAUGACUAGACCCUUGGUUUUUAGCAUUUCCCUUGUGUCAACAAGAAAGUUGCAGUUUUUCCCAAAGCGAGGACAUAGCUAGUUGAAGAUAACCUUGGCGAGUGUUGUUUUGCCGAUGCUACCCAACCCACAGAUUCCAAUGAACCGCAUACCGUCAAAAGCGAUGUUUGAUAAAUUGUCUAUCGUUGCUAUUUGAUCCUCCAUUCCAACUAAAUCUUUGGUCACUUGCCAUUGUCUUGUCUUCACCUUGACCACAAUCUCAUUAACAACCGACAUGAUAAGAUUCCCAUAGCUGCCACAAUGACAAACAAUAUUAAUUGAGAAAAGGUGACAAAUUUCCAUGUUGACAAACAAUUUACAUAUAUCAGAUCUUGAAUCAGCCUCAAUUCAUUUUGAAUGCGCAGCACUUAUAUUUCUAUUAGAUUGCACAUUUCAAAAACGAUAAUGACAAUACAUUCGUUAAUGGGAAGAGCUUUUGUUACAUUCUUAAUGCGAAAAGCUUCUCCACGAUAAUCCUUCUUGAAAAAUUUACAAAAGAAGAACCAAUGCAUAACAUUAGAAAAGGAGAAAAGGAUGUUUAUUAUGAUAAAUAAAUAAUGAAAUUCUUGAUUUGAAAGCCCGAAGUCCGGUGCCACUUUCUUUAGUGAGAGACAUCAUUUUGGACAUUUGUACCGUGGGACUCACGUAAUUCAAUUGAUUGAAACUGACGCCCCCCACAACUUCACAACAGUUGCAGCUUUCAAUUUAUGGUCAAUAAAGUGGAAGGCUUCAGAGAAAAUGAGAUGAAGGACAAUUAUGGAGGUCUACCUUUUCACAAGCCCAAUUUCUUUGGAGUUUCUUCUUAGUGCAUUUGAACUUUUGAAUUUAUGACCAUUUUUUAAUUUAAAAAAUCUGAUUUUCAAACGUUUAAAUCAUUUAUAAUUAGUUUAUAGCUAUAUCUAUGGUUAAACAUAUUUAUAUAGAUAAAAACGGAAUUUAUCCAUAUAAAUGCAUAAUAAAAAAUAUUCCUAAAGAAAAGUUUAAGUUAAAUGCAUUUAUUUCAAGUGAGUGAUUCAUUGUUAGUCAAAUUUCCGCUGUUUUUUUUUGUGUGGACAUUUUAACAAUAAUAACAUUACAUUUCAUUAAUGAAAAAGAGCUUCUCCACCAUAUCAUCGUCCAGAAAUUUACAAAAGAAGAGCAAGCACAUUACAUUNNNNNNNNNNNNNNNNNNNNNNNNNNNNNNNNNNNNNNNNNNNNNNNNNNNNNNNNNNNNNNNNNNNNNNNNNNNNNNNNNNNNNNNNNNNNNNNNNNNNAAGUCCGAUGCCACUGCCGGUAGUGAUAGACAUCAUUUUGGAUUUUUGUAUUGCGUGACCCAUGAGAUUUAAUUGAAAGUUACGGACAGGCAACUUGACAGUAGCCGUAGCUUUCAUAAAAAAUCAGAUGGAGGACAAUUAUGGAGAUGUACCAGUAUUUUGGUCGGUUGAAUACAAUUAUGGAGAUGUACCAUUUCACACGCCCUUUCGCCUUUCUUCUUGGUGCCUUUGAACUUUUGAAUUAAAAAAAAAAAAUCUGAUUUUGGGCGUGGAAAGAAAGAGAGGCCGUGCUGGUCUUGACCAUAAGAGGACGACUUUGCUUGGCCGAAGAAAGGGAAAAAGACAGACUGAUAAUGGCCACAGCUGACAUCGGACAGUACAGAAGGGAAACGAAAACGACGAAGAAAGUUGCAGUAAUGGUGUCUUUUAACGAUGGCCAGUCAUUGUUUCCUUUCUUCUUCUUUAUUUUCUUCUAGUGAAUUUUCUCUUUAAAUUCGAAGAGGAAGGGCUCUUAAUGAGAGAGCUCCGAGGACUGCACUGAGGAGAUUGAAAAUUUCCUCUUAAGGGUUUGAUUCAAAAAAGUUUUCUUCGUGAAGUUAGUCAAAAUUAAAGCUGAUUAAAUCUUGUGUUAAUAUGCAAAUUGAGAUAUUAUUUCGAAAUAAAUUAUGAGGGUAAAAAAAAUAGAGUUAUUAGUUGUACUUAAGAGAUAAAAACACCAAGGGUAUCUGAAUGACUUGAAUAAAAUUAUAAUCUUCGUUGCAUUGUAAUUUUAUCUAUAAUGGAAUUGUGUGCUCCUUUCCUCGUGAACGUAGAUCACACAACUAAAUCACGUAAAUUUGAUAUCCGUUCUAUUUUCUUAUUUUGUAUAUUUUUAUUCACUCGCUUGUUUUAUUUUCAAUAAUAAAUACGGUUUGAAGAAAAGAGGAACCAAGCUAGACUGUAUUAUAGUUAAAGAUCAAACCAAGCCAGACCAUUUUUUUUUUGGGGGUUUGAUUUGGCUUAAUCGUUCUUUCUUCUUUAGUUUUCCUCUUCAUCUUUUGUAAUUUUAUGAGAAAAAAACCAAAUUCCAUGUCACGAAACUUCCAAAGCGAGAUCCCCGAGGAAGUUGCUGGAUCACCAAGCAAGCACAAAUGGCCCCUCUCGCGAGGUGAUGCUUGCUCUUGGCACGAUCAAUCUCAACUUGUUUCAAUUAAUUAUUUCACUUGAUUGAGAGUCACCACUAACUUUUUAUGAACCAAUUAGGAGUCAAGUAAAAUGCGGGAGUCCGUCUUACUUCUGCAAACAUGAGAUUUGUGAGUCUAGAAACUUGAUUAGGCAAGAUAUAUCUCAAGCCCAAUAUUGCAUACUUUCUCUUUCUAUUAAAACAAUUAUUCAUGUGCUCUUCCCAAUCUUAGUUACCCAUUUUAUUCUCAAUGUUGAGAAAGGCAGGCGAUCAUGCAUAAAUUCACUCAAGCAAACACGUAUAAAAUCCACUAAUACUGAGACAAAUAGAGCAAAUAAAAGGUAGGAAAAUAAAGGACCCAACCCGUAUCAGGAAAAAAAAAUCAAUAAAAGCCUUGUUAUAAGUUCCGGGACAUGCCCCUUGAGCUAUUAACAGAAACACUGUAAAAUCUCCAAAAUAAACUAUGGCUUUAAACAGAAAGUAAAUAACUGAUACUUCAUGAAUNNNNNNNNNNNNNNNNNNNNNNNNNNNNNNNNNNNNNNNNNNNNNNNNNNNNNNNNNNNNNNNNNNNNNNNNNNNNNNNNNNNNNNNNNNNNNNNNNNNNUAAGAAAACAAAAUAUAUUUAUGAUUAUGCAUGAUUCCUAAAUUAUUCCUCCUAGAUGUAUAUUUUUAAAAUAAAAUCUAUCUGUUUUUUUUGCUUUUUCACAUCAACCCCCUCCCUAUAUAUAUUGUAGUGAAAACGAAAUUAAACUAAAAAAUAACUAAGUGCUGAGAUAAAUUUGAACUAGAAACUAGAUACCAAAAUAAUAUGUUAUAUAAACCCAGAUUUUCGUGAAAAUUUGCACUAUGUUGCGUUGGAAUUUCAACCUAAACUUCUUGUGGGAACGAGUUAAUAAACACCAGAAAAUAAAGAGAACUAAAGCGAUAAUGCUAUGAAUUAAAGCAAAACCAUUCCACAAUAUGCGAAAUCAAGGGUGGAUGAGUACAUCUAUACUAAUUGCCAAAAUUAAAUAUUUAUUAAAAAUAAAAAUAUUUUUCUACGCUGUUACAGGUCUGAAGUGUUCAAAUUGAAUCGCAUCAUGUAGAUUAUUUAUAUUUCCAUGUUUAUGUUUGCUGAGACACGAGGAACAAUCAACAUGAACUAACACAAAAAUCCACGCAGGUUCUUGAUUUUAUUUCCUUUCUUCUUUCGUCUUUCUUUUCAGACCUGCAGCAUAAUUCCUUUUCACUUGUGCUGGUCGGAUAAGUCUGUCGCAUAUUUCCCUCUUGGUCGAGCCCAUGAAAGGGAGCCAGGGUCGUGCGGGCUUGGACUCGGAAGUUCAGAUGAAUUCAUGGCACAUUUUGCGUGUUGGGGCACAUUUUGCGUGUUGGGAUCCACUCAAAUUCAAUUCUCAAAGCGGACUAAUUUAAAUGAAAUUCGUAGUCAGGUUUCGCGUUUUCUUUGGUGCGAAUGCAUUAUUCCUAACAAAGUGUUGGUACUAUCUAAAUACCGUAAAUGAGGAUGCAAAAAGUGUGCAAUCUCAAAAAAUUUAGGUAUUAGCAUUUCGCGUUGACAACAAUUCAUAAAUUCACACAAAGUGAAAAUCAAACCUAUUUAAAUAGCUAUUUCAUGUAUAAAUGGUAAAAAUAAUUAGCAAUAUCAAUCAUUUAUACAAUGCGGUGUUGUGGUUUUGGUUUGGUUUCAAAAAAGUUGAAACCAAGCCAAACCACAAAAAACGAUUUGUUUCAUGGAUGGCAUGGAUAUUGUUAAGAGGGACCCUCGAGCUUGAAGGGAAGGUGUUUUGGGGGUGCAUGAUAACCAAAAUUUCUGUUCUAGAAAUAAUUUUUCUAUUCCAUACCUGUUUCUGGAAUAGAAACCUGAUUGAUAAACCCAUUCAGUUUUUCUAUUUCUGGAAUAGAUUUCUAUGAGAAAUCAGAAAUAAUUUCUCCCACUAAACCCUAAUUUCGGUGAGUCUUCCCUCAUCUCCUCUACGUCUCUGCCUCCUCCUCCUCCUCAGCUUCUCCUCAUUUUAUUAAAAAUAAAAAUAAAUAAAAAUAAAUAUAUUCAUUUUAUUCAUUUAAAAAUAAAAAUAAAUUUAUUAAAAUAAAAUUAUUAAAAAUAAAUAAAUUAUUUUUAUUUAUCAUUUUAUUUUUAGUUUAUUAAAAAUAAAUUUAUUAAAUUUAUUAAAAAUAAUUUAUUUAUGAUAAACAAAAAUAAAUUAUUUUUAUUAAAAAUAAAUUUAAAUAAUUUAUUUUUAUUUGCCUUGAGUGUUUUGCCAAAUAAAUUUAUUUUUAUUCUUAAUUCUUAUUCAUUUUAAAAUAAAUUUAUUCGUAAAAAAAUAAAAUAGAAUAAAUAAAAUAAAUUUAUUUAAGGAUAUUUUUAUUUUAAAAAUAAAAUGAUAUUUUUAUUUUAUUUUUUAUGAUUUAUUUUAUUUUAUUUUAUUCUUUAUUUUUUGUUACUAAAUCAAUUUUUAUUUUUAUUUUUUAUAUUAAAGGUCAUCGGUCGUCGCCGCCACCGUCCGAAAGGAAAAAAAUUUGUGUCGUUAUUGAACGAAUUUCUAUUUUUAGAAUAGAAAUUUUGUAUCGUUAUCAAACGGUUAUUUUUGCUUAAAAACUCUUCUAGAAAUAGAAAUAGAAAAAUCUAUUUCUGUUCCAGAAACUAUUUCUAGAGCAUAAUGGUUGUCAUGCGCGCCCUUGGUUGCCAGCAACAUCGUGGAGCUUGGAUUAAGGCAAAGCUGCCUCCAUCAAGAUGGAUAGGGUAAGCAACGCUAUCAACCCGUAGAUCCAAAUGCCAUGAGAAUCGAUCAAGGCAAACUGGUUCGAGACUAAGGCCCCCCAAUUGUGAACUGAAGCCUCAUGGAUAUCAUGAUUUUCUAGAAAACUUUCAAAAAAGAUUAGACUUUCAAGCAGAUUUUUACACAUUAUUGCAUACUUUCAAGCACAAACGGACAUGGCACAUGUAGUCAUGCCAGAGCAUAAAAUGACAAAGGAAUUUCCCUGACGACGUCUCCAAAAAUAUCAAAAGUCGCAUAAGUAAUGUUAGGAAUUAUUUGAGAAUUGAAUUUAGAGGACGAAAUUGGAAAAUGUGGUACUGAAAGAGCGUUGUGGGAAGUCUAACCCCUCCGCACACAUAAAUGAAUCCUUCGACAACAAGUUUCAUUGGCUUUCGCAAAUGAUCAAUAUUAAACGUGGACCUAGUUUCCAAUCAGCCUAAUUUUUUAAAUCGAUUGGCAGUUACUCCAUCUCAUACUUUAUAGAAAACUUUGGAGUUGGCCCAAAACUUCCAAAACUCCUUUUCCAACGACAUAUUUGCUCCUUGCCGAGUAAAACCUUUGAUCUCAAGACCGUUGGGCAAGGCGCGACAUGACCUAUAUGAAGACUCCAACGUAUUUGUUGGAGGGUUGGCCGAGAAAGUGAUUUUUGAAGGCUUUAUUGCAUCAAAGUGAUUGUUGAAAGUUGGCCGAGAAGAUCAAAACGCGAUCAAAGCUUUUUUUUUUUUUUUUUACGUAUAUAUAUAUAUAUAUAUAUAUAUAUAUAUAUAUAUAUAUAUAUAUAUAUAUAAAAAUAUAAAAAUAAAAAUAAAAAUGUAUGUAUGUUUUUCUACUCUUAUUUCUCUAAGAGAAUGUUUAUGUCAUUAUUGUAAAGAGUCACACACUCACUCACCCCCCCCCCCAGGUACUCGGCGAGGGAGCGUUCGUACACAUAUAAAAAAGGAAAUUCCGUUCAUAAUUAGAGGAUUCAGUCUUGUUCUUAGAUAGGAAAAUCAUUCAAAAAGUCAUAAACCUAUUGUGUGGCAGUCAAUUUAGUCUUAAACUUUUCAAUUUGACAAAUUUAGUCUUCAACUCUUUAACGAUUUUCUAAUGUAAAUCAUCUGGUCAAUUUUGGUCGGAAAUCGUUAAUACGACAGUCCAAUAAGCACUAGCCAUUCUAUGUGUAAUGGCCAGGCUAUUGACGAUUGAUGCAAACUAUUUUUAAUUUUUUUUUAAUAUUUUUCUUCUUUUUCUUUUCCUUCAUCCAAAUAGAAUUGAAGUAUGAGGCGCUUGCCUUGUGAAUCCACCUAUAAAUUGAUUUGUGGUCUCUUCUUUCUAUCGCUCGUUACAUUUCUGAUGAUGGAAGAUAUUUUCUAUACGUAGCAUAUUUUGUCUACAAAUAUUGUUUCAUCCUCUACACAUUGUUUUGCAAGAAAAAAUUGUCAAAAAUCCUACAAUAACCUAUUCAUUCUCUCUUGAUUGUUUAAUUAAGUCCAUUUCACACAUAAGCAUUUUAUUUGUAUAAAUAUUAAGUGAAAUGGCACCAAUUGUCCGUUUAUUCUUGCCGAAAAUUCAAGAACGUCCUUGUAUCUUCUUUUUUUUUGUCCAAAAUCAUCCCUAUACUCUUUAAAAGGGUCAUUGCUCGUCCUCCUAUUAUGUCACUACUUUUUUCAGUUGAUUUACACUAAUAUGGAUAAUCGGAACAUUGAGUAGAAGCCAUAUGGCAGCAAUGGCCGCUCAAGCAUUAAGCUCACAACCAUGGUCAUUUGAGCUCGAAGCUUGCCACCACCAUGGUUGCUUGAGCUCGAGCUCAAAGCUAGUGGCCAUGGUCAUUUGAGCUCGAACCUUGUGACGACUAUUGCCAAAUCUGGAUUCGAAGUUCACAGCAGUCAUAGCUACUUGAGCUUGAAGCUUGCGGCUGCUAUGAUCAAAUAUGGCAUCGAAGGUUGUGGCUGUCAUGGCCAAAUUUGGCCACCAUGGCCGCUCGAGCUCCAAACUCAUGGCCAUGUUCGUUUGAGAUCAAAGCUUGCAAUUUGCUGCUAGAUCUACUUCAAAGCUCAUAACCACCAUGAUCACCUGAGCUCGAGCUUGAGACUUGCGGCCAUCAUGGUUUUUCGAGCUAGUGGCCAAGGUGGAGCUUGAGUGGCCAUGAGUGUAAGAUCUUAAAGGUCGUAGAUCUUGAGCUUGCGAUCGCCAUGGCUGCUCAAGCAUUUGAGCUGUGGGCAUUAUAAGCAAUAAAGUAAUUCUUUUAUGUGGAAAUACAAAAUAUGAGAUCUUUGAUCUUUAUAAUUUUCACGAUAAGAAGGAUGGAGAGAUACCUUUAUUCAUAGUAAUACACUUGAAAGUAUUUAUCGCGGAAAAACCGAAGAGAAGAAGAAAUUUGAUUUCUCUCCAUUAACCCAUGCUUUUCUUUAACGUAUUCUAUUUGAUAGAGGAUAGAGUACAAUGUUAUUUUUUAUGUUGUAGGUGAAAAGAGGAUCAGACUCUUAUUUAUAUAUGCUAUCAUAGGUGCCUUCUAUCAAAGCGUCUUUUCACUUCUACGAGAGUCACACCUCUGUUGAAGAAUAGUAACUUCUCAAUGAGGAUUGUACCAUUUUAUUAGCGUCGUAAUUUCUCAUAACCAAUACAUUUUAGCAUUAAAUAUUUAUUAAACCAUUAAUCAAUAAUAUCAUGCGGGCCACAAUAAUUCUUACAUUCUCCUGCUUGACCCAUAUGACCUUCUUUUCAUGGUUUAAUAAAGAUCAUAAGGUGCACAAUAACAUUAUGCUAAAACCUUUCAUAAGUUGGCUAUCGUAUAUAAUCACAAUUAAGUAAAAAAAAAAAACUAAGGCGAGUCAUGGCAGUUGUAUGUCAUUGAUCGAGAUAGUUCCUUUGGUGUACAACAACAUAGCUCUUUACUUAAUAUAAUCAUAAAUGAUAAGUACCGUAAUGGUCCAACCAUAAUGUCUCUAUUAGAGACUAACCUAUUUAACAUUCGUCUAUUUUCAUAAAGUAUACUAAAUAGAAACAAGAAAUAUCAAAGAUGCAUGAUUGAGCUUAGAGUGUCAAAUACAUAAACUUAAUGCAAUCAUAAUACAAUAAUUAAUGAUGUCCAAUAAUGUCCAUCCUUUCAAUAUGCUCAUUAUAUGUUUUGGGUGACAAUCCUUUUGUUAAAGAUUCUAUGUCGCGACCUGAUCUCACCGCCCAUCCCUCAUGAGGAGAGGAAGGGGAAAUGUCAGAUUUAUGUGUACGUGAUCACAAAAGUUCCCCCACAGUUCUCAACCACAGGGAUGUCAUCACCUUACCAUCCAAAUGAACCUCAUGUGAGUUCAGUUAAUCGUAAUCGUGAGUUCUCCCAAACUUGUACCCCACAUGAUAGCAGACUGCCGCAACCCUACCUCAACACCACGGUAUGUCUUGACCAACGGUUUUAAGGUCAAAAGGAAUCCGGAUGUGAAUGUGAGUUUAGGGGUGCCUUUACCACGAUAACCCUCUUGAUAGGACAUUUUGCCCAUAAGGAUGACAUCACUUUAUUCUUUAAGGGUACAACCAAUAUUGAAUAUGUUAAAUCGCGGUGAGUCUUAUCAAGACCCAUACCCCAUGCGACAGGUUCAUUUAUAACAUCUAGUUAUUUAAGACAACCUAAAAAUAAGACGAAAGUUGCCACUAGCCUUAUUUUUAGGGGGUCGGCCAGAAAACCCAAUUGAGUGUUGGAAGUGUUUCCUCGUUUUCUAUGCAAUCAAAUAUCUAGGCUCGAGGACAUGGGUUACGCUAAUAAUACUAUCAGCGCCCUUUCAGUACCUAACAGUACGUUAUGUUUACCUAAGGUGUCCAUGCAUUUCUUCUUUAAUUUUUUUGGAUCGUUUAUCCUAACUAGGCGAUCAUGUGUGGUUGGUCAUUUACAUGCUAUUCCAUUUCUAGAAAAUGUGAAAAGAAAGCAAUCAACUAAAUUGAAAUUGUGAAACGUUAUAUAAACAACCAAUGAAAGAAGUAAAUCUAUCAUGCAAUCCUAAGGAAGAUAAAAAGAGAAACGGAAUUAAAGGACAAGAGAGAGAAGAACCUGCAACUUGUUGGGCUUUAAUACAGAUAAUAAAAAACCCUAGACAUAUGUUGGGAAUGGAUGGUAUAGAAUAAUGGUUAGAAUGGACAUCGACCUCCACCGUUGUCGUGUCCUUUCCAUCUUCAAUAUCCUAAUUUAGAAAAUUAGAAGUAGGUACCUACAAUAGAAAGAAACAAGCAUACACGUCAAAACAACCAAAAGCAAAAUAUUAUGCCAAAGUUAAUCAAUCAAAUGAAGUUCAAUUCACAAGUCAUAUUUGGGCCUCGGGAUCGGUUUUUAUAGUUCAUGCAUAGAUCCCUCUAAGACACCCAUCCAACUCAUUUUAUGACUUACAAUCAUUAUUGACCAAUUGUGUUCUUGCAUGGAUAAUAACACUUAUAAACCUCCUAACAAGUGAUCUAUAUGAAUCUAGGGUUUUCCCUCGAUAUCAUGCAUCGGCCCUAACAUACAUCAAGAAACUAGACGCAUUGCACGAAUUAAACACACAUCAGGUCUUUUGACCUUAUUUCUCAACCAAUCAAACAAGAAAGUGAAUCGAUGGCGGGUCACUUAGGCAUGCGUUAAUCACGAACGCGGACAUUUCUAAUUAAUGACGUGAUUAUAUACACAAUGGUACAUGUGAUGUUUUAAAGANNNNNNNNNNNNNNNNNNNNNNNNNNNNNNNNNNNNNNNNNNNNNNNNNNNNNNNNNNNNNNNNNNNNNNNNNNNNNNNNNNNNNNNNNNNNNNNNNNNNNNNNNNNNNNNNNNNNNNNNNNNNNNNNNGGUUCGGCAUUAAAAUGUAUAUUAUAAAGCUUCACCAGACAUUUUUAAAUAUAGUUCAAAACCAUGACUUUUAUUAAUGUAAAAAUCGGGAUUCAAAGAGAUUUGAGGGAUUACCUUUGAACGAUCUUUGUGAUUUUACAUGAUCGGACGAAGCCUUGAACCCCUGGAACUUUGAUUGGGCCUCGGGGAUCAAGUUCGGACCGCCACAGAACACUAAGGAGAUCGGAUCAAAGCUAGUUGGACCACUUACAACAACAAACGUGGGAACCGAUUCCAAAAUAGGAGUGGUCUUCGAACACCGGUAAAGAUCGGACCACCGGAGGUGAUCCGACAGCCAAUUCGCCUGCCCUUGACAACGGUGAGGUCAAGGACCUCUUGGACUAACGAUCGCCGACAAUCGAGGAUGCCUGGGAGUGCUGGGAACCUCCGAUUCAAGCUGGAACAGAACUGGUCCUGCUUGGACUGGUUUUAGAGUCUCCGGAGAAACCAAAUCAUCGGAAGUGUUCCGAUGGCUGGUUUGCUGGUUCUUGACCUUGCUAUGGUCGGGAAUAGGUCUAGGGAGAGAUAGACAGGGUUUGCUCUGCCGAUCUUGGCCACCAGACCGAUGAUCAAGCCAAUGAACUAAAAAUCGACUUGGUCGCCGAUUUACUUUAACCAAAGGAUGAUCAACCAAUCCCGAUUAAUCCAACAACCAUUGGAGAUGGAGGGGCUUGCUAGAGGAUUGAGGUGAGUGAGGGAAACCACCGGGGGCUGGGUGUCGUCCAAUGAGACACCGACUUAAGGCCGUCAAGCUUGAAUUGGGGAAUCACCCAUUCGAUUUAGAGAGAGAGAAGAGAGAGAGGUAGUUGGCGCCAAGAUCCAGAGAGAAGAAAGAGAGAAAGGGAUCCGAGGAGAGAGAGUCAAUUUCAUGCAUAAUGAGCCCCCCCUAAAAAUGGACGGAAAAUGGGUAUAUAUACCCUCUCUAAAUAAAGUAAUCUUGACUGUCGAUUUGAUCCAACGGUCGAAAUUGUAAUCCAAUGGUCAAAAUUCGAUUUUGAAGGUUUCAUUACGAUCUUGAGGUGUCGAGUUAUUGAUUUAAUGGGUUUGAUUUGCGAAAACCCGAGCCAAAAUCGAGAAUUAUGUAAAAAUGUCUAAUUAGAUAUCAAAUUGCAAUUUGAUGAGAUUCAAAGGCCAAUCUACAAAACUUUCAAAAAAUUGAAGUGCAGAUGUGAAAUUGACAUUGAGAGCAACCUGGAACCAAUUACCAGAGGUCUAGAACGAGCUAGCAAGCGGCCAAACCGGCUUGCAUUGCCGGCGGUUGGUUAGUCCGGUCAGACCGGUUCACUUGAGUUUGGCUAGUUUUUGAUCGGUUUUUGAUAGGUUUGGUCCGGUUUUGGAUAUUUCGCUUGCUUGGGACCUCUGUGGACCCAAAAUUUAUGCAAUUUGGUUCCUAAAUGAUCAAAUUGAAAAGAAAAUUUACUCUAUUUGAAAGGAAGUUGCAAAAUUGCGAUCCAAUUAAGCUAAUCAAAUCUCAUGAAUACGAUUUAAGGAUCUUUUAUUGACUUAAUUUGAUGGUUAUUAUGAAAGACAACAAGUCAAAAUCAUGGAUACUUUGAAUUGAGCAUAAAGGGCUAAAACGAUCAAAUUUGCAAUUCAAUGAAUAAAAUUAAAAACCGAUUGAAAUUGAAUUCAAUUAGCGCCACAAAUGAAUCUAGGUUUAAUUCAAAAUUGGACCUAGAUUUAUGGAAUUAAAUCAUAACCUUGAAUGAANNNNNNNNNNNNNNNNNNNNNNNNNNNNNNNNNNNNNNNNNNNNNNNNNNNNNNNNNNNNNNNNNNNNNNNNNNNNNNNNNNNNNNNNNNNNNNNNNNNNACAUGCGUUGAUGAUUAACUAAUUCACUAAUCCAUUUUAACUAACAACCUAGUCCUAGCUUAGUCUAAAAUAAUCCACCCUUAACCGUCAUUAACUUACUACGCCGGGAUUAGUGAGUUAAACUCACUUGAUUAACGAUCCCCUUGAACCUCCACCGCGGCUACCGGGAGACGGGCCAAAAACUCUAAUAUGAGGGCACCAACCAGGGCUAGGACGGGCCCAAAAUUGGCCACACAAGGCCCACAGUUGCUGGACUGAUUUUGAGAGGCUGCUGGCCUCGGCUCAACGGGCUGGUUUAUGCUUGUUUCCAAGCUGGAUCGGGGGCUGACCUAACCUGCUCGGAGAAGCGUCACUAGCUUCGGUAGCUGAUGUUGGGGCUGCUCGGUUUGACUUCGUGAGAAGGAUGAUGAAGCUGAAACUUGCGUGGGCUGCAGCAGGGCUGUCUCGGUGAAAUACAUGCGGAUGUGCUGAUAGCGGGCUGGCGUGAACUCGGUGGACUAUCUAGCGCACAAAGAACCUGUUGGAGUUGACCGAAGUCGCUGGGGAGGCGUCACGGAUGAAGGGAAUCGUGGAGAUGCAACUGGAUGAAAUAGAGAGAGCAAGCUGGUGGCUUUGCAUGGCGACAGAAGCUAAGUGGCACUGAAGAACUUGAAGCACACUGACAUCAUACUUGAACCCCACGGACGACGACCUUCUAACUGGUGGAUGGCGGAACCUGGGAAAGGAGAGACGACAGCAAACGGCAGACUUAAGCUUGCGAGGAGCGAAUGAGGAUUGGGCGUGGUGUCACCGAGGAUUGAGCAACAGCGAUUUGCUUGAGAACAUCACUCUCUAAGGAUAAAUGCCCUCGAGGAAUGCCACGAGGGUUCCAUGAUCACUCCACAAAUGAAGUGCCCUGUCCAUUGCCAAUUACACGUGUUGAGUAUGUCGCUUAAGAAUGGACCUAACUUUUAGCAGCUUCCUCCAUGCUCAGAUGAGUUACUUUUAGGAGUAACAGGAACAUAUAGAAAUCUGUUUCAGCAAGCAUAACCCAGUAACCCAAAUGGACCCUGCUUUUAGCAACUUCUCUAUAUUCCUGAGAAUGCAAGCUUCAUUCCAUGUUUCCAGCUUCUUCUAGCCUAAACCACCCUCACAUUUUGGAGCGCAAACAUUAUCCUGAGAAACCUUAGGACCCUCUGCUUUCUCAACAUUUCCUUUCCACUAAGUGACAUGAUGAGGCUCUUCAACAAGCUCGACUAUGUUCUUUGGUAAAACAAAUAUUCAAUUUGAAAAGUUGACCAGGCUAUAGAUUUCAGCCUUGAUUAACUAAGUCUUCCUGCAUAGGGAGGAUGUCUCUCAGUCUGAUCCAAAGUUUUCUUCUUCUGAACUACUCGGUUAGUUCCAUAGCCUGCCAAAAACAGCUCAGUUUUCAGGGAACCGAACUCCAAAAGUAAAAGCUCUUCGAAUUCUGGAAACAAGGACAAGAUUUCUUGCCAGGACUUCUCAUCCCAUUAUAGAAAAUCAUCAGCAAAACUUCUCACUUUCUCCAGAAAAUAACUAAGGUCAUGUUAUACCUAAGUUUGUGUUAGUGUUAAAACUCACUACCUGUGCGCUUGAACGCACAAGUGAUUUCCCUUUUCAAAAAGGUGAAAAUACGACAUUGAAAUGGAGAGACCAGUUCCCCUAUGUCUUGUUUAAUUUGUUGGAAAUCCAUAAAUGGUGGAAGCUAGAUCAAUGUAAGUCACGUGCCACUAGAAUAUGUGUGUUUACAGCAUUGUCUAUUUCAUUAUCUAAUCAUUUGUUUUGAUAGGGUGUUGUUCAAAAGAUUGAAAAAGGCAGAAAUGACACUAAUGUACAACAUCAUAUUUGGAACUCUGAUUCUUUCAAUAUGAUCAUUGAACUUUUCCUAAAUAUUUAAUGUAGUCCCUAAAUUUUUAAUUUGUUCAAUAUAAUCUCUCAACUUUCCAACAAACUCAAAUCAGCCCUUUAGUACUAUUCAUAAGUUUUCAUGAUUACAUUGUUAUCCGAAUUUUGGAAUCUCAUUUCAUUUCAAUCAUUUUCCUAAAUCAACAAAAAAACAUGUUAUCUUUUUAUUACAUUUUUUUGGUCUUCACAACUAUUACGAUAGUUCACUUUAAGGAAAAGUAGAACUUCAUUUAGAGUUAAAUCAGAUUGAUAAUUCUGUUAUGUUAUGUUUAAGUAGUUUCAUUAGGACAUCUAGAAACAACAUUAGUUAAUUUAUAGAUAUUCGUAGUUAUAUUGAUCCUGAUUGUUCAGAAAGUACAAAACACAAAACGUCAAAAAUUUAUCGACCUCAAAAAGUUAGGAAUGGGAUUUAGAUUACAGAAAAUUUUAUCAACCUUAAAAACUAAGGAACGAGAUCUAGAUUGACGAAAGAAUGAAUGCGGAUAAAUAAAUUAACAUCGUGUACACGCCCUUAUUAAAGCACUUAAAACUCUUUUUAUUUUGGAGACCAUAAGCUGAAAUUAACUUAUUUCGUAAGAGUCGGAAUCUUCGGUGAGCGUUUUAGGGUUCUGAAUCGAACCCAAAUCUUCCUUUUCACUCAGACUCAUCUUUGAUGGAUCGACUGGUAAGGUCUUCCCCCAACUUCUGCAUAAUUUUCACUCUUGAUCAUCUCGCCCCUGCUUCUGUUCUUCAAUUUGAUUUUUUUUUUCCUGUUUUUAUGUUAUUUUGCGAGAAUUUUCGUUGAGAUUGCGACUGUUUAUGCUGAUUAGAUGAUGGUCUUUAACCUGAAGUUGUGGGGUUAAAUUGUUCUCGCCCACUUCUCACCCAAUCCUUGGCCACUCCAUGCCCACUCCUUGCGAGCUUCAGUCUGUCGUCUCCUUCUUUCCCGGGUUCCAUCUCACGUUCAACCGAGCUUCGAUCAUGCACUUGCCAUUUUCUUUUAUGGAGCGGCAUUGGAGGGUGGGUAUAGUAAAAGCUUCGAGUAUUAUGUUAAUGUGUGUUUACUGUCACAUGUAAGUUUCAGUAGCUCCGAGAAUGUCAUCAAAACCGAGUCGCUACUGUUUUAAGACAUUCCUCAAGACUCAUCUUACACGUGAGAAAGUAGGAAGGAAUUGCUGAUUCCGGAGGAGAAUUAGGCAUUAAAAUAAAUAAAUAAAAGAAGCACUAAAGAAGUAAAUUGAGAUGCACAACUGCCUGACCAAGCACCUUGCUACAAAGUGGCUCACUUUUCUCUCAUCUUUCAGUUCAAACCAGAAGAUAGAUGCAAAACAGAGAACACGAACAUGGGAGCGGUAACAUGGGAGUAAUCAAGAAGCAACGAGAUCUGGUGUUUAUGCUCUCAACAGAUAACAAAGCUGCGUGUACUUUGUAGCAGUAAUUUGACCUGUGGAAUCAUCAAAACUCUUGGCUGACCCAUGAAACAGAUAUUGUCCCCUCAACUUGAUCUAUUAUGCCCUCGAUAAGAUGAACCUGAGUUAAGAUUUCAAUGGUAAGACUACCAUAAAAUAAGGUAAAUGCUUGAAUAUUGGUUUUCCAUUAUGUAUGCUAGAGCAGCGAAGGUGCAAGCAAUUAUAACACCGAAGUAUUUGCCAUGAUGGCUUAUGCAAAAGAGGAAACUGUAGUCUAGAUUUUUAGCAACAGCAUACUGACGCCAUAUCCGAAGCUCUUCUAUUCUUACACCAGAAAUAGUGGCAGAGGACAAUGUACGAGCAUGAAACAUAGCAUCAACAUUAAAGGAAUAAAAAAAAAUGCUGAUUCACAUCAGCCCCCACUUGUCGUAUGAAGAUAUUUAUGGUUGAUUAAUACUAGCUAAGUCUCUUAAUAGUGUGCAUGUUCACAGCAGUCACUUGAGGCACAUUCUGUGCAACCAAUCCCUUCAACCAUAUGCAGCAGACCUCAAAUUACCAAUGGAAAAUACAACUGCUCAAGAAGAGAACCAAGAAGAGAAGCACUGUUUGCUUCAUUUUCGAUCAUUAAAGCCCCUCACAGGUAAUAAAGAGACAGUGGAUAUUCAGUAAGAUGAUCAUUAUUCAAACCUUAGAAUAUACUUAACAAACUCUUCAUGAUAAGAUGCUCAACAUCAUAUGUGCAGAAAGUUCUGUGCGCUCUACCAUAACAAUCAUAGGAAUGGCUCGAUCCUCAGAUGGUUGACUGCAAAAAUCUGCGUUGCCGUUUUCCAACAAAGCUGUAAAUUCAGUUUCCCAAAUUUUGUAACUCUCUAAUCUUUAGUCAGCUCACCAAACACCCAUAAUUCUUGUAAUACCCCAACUAACAAAUGCGCAACAUGUGGGCACAUGAUUCCAGUCAAUCCAGCAGUCCACAGAAGCAUACCAACAUAAAUAAACUAUGAAGCUAUUGCCCUAUGAAGCUAGAGCUCGAACUCAUGCUUAACUACGCAAAGAUAAAUCACACGAUCACAUUCAACUAAACACCAUCUGCCACACCGCCUGUACCUGUUCUUCAGCGAUUAGCUGGUAAUCCGGAGCUUGAGUUGAGGUCCAUGCCUCCCGCCACCGAUGGAGUUAAUGAACGCAACCAUCGGAGCCUCAUAAAACUUCAUGCUCCAGCCGAGCGGCGCUGAAGAAGAAAGACUUGAAGCUCGCGGACAUGGAACUUAAAGCUUGCGACGGAACCUGGGAAAAAUGAGAGAGCGGACGACGGACUGAAGCUCGCGGGGAGCAAGCGAACAGCGGCGAGGACUGGGUGAUAGCAAUUUGCUUGAGCAGCGGGAAGAGAGGAGGAAGAAGAAAACGUAAAAGAGAACCCCUCUUAAUCGCUGGUGCGCAAUUUAGAAUUUGUCUGUUGUCUCUGUUUACUAGAAGAAAGCAGAAAUGGAAAGCAAAUAAAGCAGAACAGCGAUGAUCUAAGAAUAGAAAGAAGGCGCACCAAGGAUCACUUUAUGUUUCAGAUUCGCUGGUUUCAUAGAAUGCUAAUUCAGUUGACGCGUCCCGCAAUUUCCUCUUCAUCAUUCCGAAUCUUCUCUCUAAAAGACUCCCAAUUGCCGUGAUAAGUAUCACAUUUGCCGCUGAGAUUGCAAUUAGAUGUCAUGUCCGUCUGGCACUCAUUCGGAACUUUUGAGCUCGAUGCAUCAAAAAUCCCUCUAAAGUAUAUAUUCCCAUGAACUCUCAACAGCCGCAAAAACUCUAAUUCGUGAAUGCCCUCCAUGCUCAGCAACCUCCAGCAGGAUUCAAUAUGUAACCUCUUUAAUUUCUUCAAGUUUGACAAACCUUUUAUCCUUCGUAAUGAACAGCAAAAUUCGACGGUAAAUGCUUCCAAUGAUUCCAACGGAGAAACAAAAUCGAUAACUUCUACCUUCCGGCACCUCCCCAUGUGGAAUUCUCGAAGCAUCUUCAGAGAGCUUAGGACAAGGAAAUUUCCCCUCCAGGGUUCAAUCAACUCGGGAGCUUGUAGCUCGUUGUACCCUGGCUCCUCUGGCACAAAACGCCUGCUCUUGACACAUAAGAUGUCAUGAAGACUUGGUUCGUCCAACGAGUCAAAGACAUCGAGAGAUUGACCAUCGAGUUGCCCGUACACCUCGUUUUCUCUUGAUUUUUCCAACGGAGUAAGCCCACUGAGAUGUACGUGUUUCACUCGAGUGUGGUCAAUCUUUAAAAUUAUCAAGUUUGGGGGAAAUUGCUUGAGGGUUCGGAAGUCUAGUCCAGAUAGAGUAAGUUCUUUCAGCAGAGAAAGGGAACCCAACUUUGUAGUUGGUGCGUGGACAUUUAAUAAGCAAAAGUGCAGCUUGCUUAGUUUGGAUAACCUCCCAAUCCACCUCAAUUCACCAGUUGGAAUUACACUUGAUUUGCACAGCCUAUCGUCAAAGUCAUCGGAUAGGAACAAUUCAACUAGAUUAGUAAGGUUUGAGAGAUUAGGGACAGUUAGCAACGAAGUAGAUAUUAGCCGUAGAGUGGUCAAACUUCUAGGGAGCUCCAGCCACUCUUUUAUACUAUGACCAUGUUCCAAGUUCAGUAUUUGGAGGUGAAGCAAUUUGCUCAUUGUACUAGGCAUUUCUACAAUCGGUGCGUUUAAUACAUUGGCAAAUGACAGGUUUCCUAGUCUACCAAUGGAAUCUAGUAAUCUUGUAAUUCUCGUGCGUGAUAUAUCUAGCUUUGUCAACAACUCUAAUUUCGAAAUUGAGUCAGGGAGCUCGCUCAAGCUAUCACAUUUACUAAGAGAGAGGUGCUGAAGAUUCUUUAGCUCUCCAAUUUGUUCAGGCAAUUUUUCAAGUUUCAAACGUAACUCAAUACUCAAGUUAGUCAACCACCUCAGUUUCCCAAUAGAGCGGUCAAUUUUCUUCAAAGAUGGACAAUGAUAAAUCGUCAACUUCUCUAAAACUAAGUAUUUGCGAAAGGUUGGUGUCCCAUGAAUGAAGUUAUUAUAUUCAAGAGUGGGAAUCUUCAAUUUCGUUGCCCCCUACAAAAGCCAAUGAAACAUCAAGACAAACAAUUAGAAGUCUCCCAAGUUGGACCUUAUGUCAUCCAAUCCUCUCACUAACUAAGAAAAUUAGGCAAUAAAUCUAUCAAAUUCUGUCCUUCAUUGAAUGAGAAAAUUAGACCAAGAGGGAAAGUCACGUACCUUGAUUACGUAACUGAUCUCAUCUUCAUUGAGUCUAGAGAAACAAAUAUUAAUCAGGACCACGCUUUCUAGACCGAAAUUGGUUAGCGAAUCACGUUUUCCAUAAUAACUUUUAGUGCCCCAAAAAAUUAUCCAUUUCAACUUGGCAAGAUAGCCCGUGAAGUCACCUUGGCAGACUACAUUACUCAACCAAAGAAACUUGAGAUGUGGGAACCGUCUAAGUUGCUCCGCCGUGAUAGUUGUAGGGUUGCUGGAGGUCGAUCGCAAACAGAGUGCUUGAACGCUUUCCUUGAUCUGCCAAUGACAUUGAGGAGCAGCGACAGGAAUUUGUCAAUACUCCCACAAUUUAAUUUGUCGAAGGGAAGAAAAAAGAAAUCAAACGGUAAAGUAGCUCCCAAUACAGAAACGCGAUUAAAUCCUCAAUUAAGAACAGGGUAAGCAAUUUUCUAUUCAAAUUUGGUCAUACUUUACCUCUAUUGAUCGUAAUUUGCAAAUAAUGUCAUCUUUAUCCCACAACCUAGUAUGCUCUUGUAUAGCAAUUGCCCUUCCGAGAUCUCUAAACUGAUCAUGCAUCCAAAUUUCAUCAUCUUCUAAAAACUUUAUCAUGCACCUAUUAAUAAGGACUUGAAUAGCAUACUCCACCUUAAACCCACAAUAUUUCCACUGGUAGAUUAGAUUAGUCUUCUUCCAACUGAUGAAAAAGCAUGCAACAUCAAGAAAUAUGUGUUGUUGAUCCGGUUCUAAGGCAUCAUAGCUAAUCCUUAACUUUCCCAACACAUCCCUAUGAGGUGUUUCCCUUAGCUUCUCUAGCGUCUCUUCCCAUAUUGUUUCCUCUUUCUGACCAAAAAGCAAUGAACCUAUAGCUUCAAGAGCUAAAGGUAGUCCACCUGUAGUUGAGACAAUGCCUUUGGAAAGAGUGUAAUAAUUGGUAGGAGGCGAACCAUCAUCAAAGGAAUGCCUACUAAAAAGCCGGAGUGCAUCUUUUUUGCUCAACUCCUCCAUUUCGUAAUGCAGGAUUUUAUAUUUAAAACCCCUUAUUUUUAGAAUGCUUUUAUCCCUAGAGAUAACAAGUAUCCUAGUACCAGAACACAAAGAAUUCACUUCAAUUAGUUUUAGGAUUUGGUUGCCCUCAUCGACAUCAUCCAAUACAAUUAGCAUUUUCUUGUUGCAAAUUGUUUGUCCAAUCAUAGUGAUCCCCUGAUCCAUGUUAUCAAUGUGAGGAGCCACUCCAAAAUUGGAGAUAUCGGACAAUGAUUUUCUUUGCAACUCAACCAAUGAGCCCUUGGUUUUUGCCAUUUCCCUUAUAUCAUCAAGAAAGCUACAAUUUUUCCCAAAGCGAGGACAUAACUGGUUGAAGAUAAUCUUGGCAAGUGUUGUUUUACCAAUGCCACCCAUCCCGUAAAUUCCAAUGAGCCGCACACCAAUGGAGUCGAUGUCUAAUAAAUUAUUUACGGUUGCCGUUCGAUCUUCCAUUCCAACUAAAUCUACAGUCACCUGUCUUUGUCUUGUCUUGAGCCUGACUAUAAUCUCGUUGACAACCGACUUGAUAAGAUCCCCGUGGCUGCCACAAAUUUGAACAAUUUCAAUUGAGAAAAGGCAACAAAUUUGCAUGUUGACCAACCAUCGACUAAGCAACUGAGCGGGAAUGCGACCAAGUUUAGGAUAUAUAAAAAUUCAAUGUUACCCCCAAAGCUUGGGGAACAUGAUGAAUGACAAAAUUGAAAAUCCAUUACAAAUUAAAGUUAAAAGGAAUAGAGGAAGAGAUAUGUUUGAUCAUUAUUUCAAGUAGAAGAAUCAAAAUUUCUGGCCAGAAAAAGGUAGAAGAAUCAAAAUAUAAACAUCUGAUGACUAGUGUUAUAGUAGAUUUACUCAAUUCUUUCAAUGUGAAAAGGAACUUUGCAAAGGCAACCGUUCCUUAAUCAAGUUCUCCAGCGUACAACAGGAAUCUUAAGACAUUCACGGAUGAAAUUAGUAUAAAAAAGAUGAAGCAAAGCUAAACUUUUAUACGAUGGAAAUUAGGUGAAAGCAAAAUUAUAAUAAAUCUAUUAGAUCAGAAAAAAUUGGAAAUCUCAUGAUUUAGAAAAAAUAAAAAAGAAUUUGAAACUUUCUGUUUAAAUUUAGGGUAAUUAGAGUUGAAAAGUAAUUAACGAAUUUUCAUAAGAACUAUGGCCUGAUUGUACAAAAUAAGUUUCUCGAUCAUGGUUAGAUUGUUACCCUGAAUAUUUCUCCAGCUCCCAUCCCUUGGUGCCAUCAACUUCUUUGAGAGCCUGCUGCCACAUCUCUACAUCCUCAGAGCUAAACUUCUUCUUCUGAUCCUCCACUUUUUUCUCCAAAUUCAUUAUGGCCUUACUAUACAACGUGGUUUUCAGCAUCACGUCAUCGGGUUUCGCAUCAUAGAAGAUGGGCAAUAUGGCCUUCUUCUUCCCAUCUUCUUUUGAUGUAGAGGUGUUCUCCACCAUCUUUGCAAGCUCGCGAAGGCACCAAUGACUUGAAGCGUAAUUUUUGGAAAAGAUAGGUAUAUAUAUCUUGGAAUUGUUGAUCGCUUGCAGAAGGCUGUCACUAAUUCUUUCACCCGAUCGAAGCUCUUCAUCAUCAAUGAAAACAUCAAUCCCGGCAUCCACCAGAGCAUGAUAAAGGCUGUUGGUGAAUCCACAACGAGUAUCAGGCCCUCUAAAACUCAGGAAGACAUGGUACUCACCUCCUAAUGUAUUCAUGGUGCUUGUCCCUAUCUUUGAGUUUGCCAUAGGAGCCCACUUCGCACUUAGAGGGAAUUUUUCACAAAGCCGAAGAUGUUUUGCAUUUCUCAAAUGCAAGUCACGAUGAAGAGCUUUGAGACUUAUGGGGGACAAUUAAAAUAGUAUGUGGAUGUUCAAUUUAACCGAUGCCUGUAGGAAACUUGUCAGUAAGAUCCUUGUUGAAAAAACAUCACAUUUCCUUGUUGAAUAAAUGCAUACAGGCAACUUCGCAGCAGGUGCAACUUCCAAUGAUAUUCAAUAAAGUUGAUGGCUUUACAAAAAAUAAGGUGGAGGACAAUGACGUAGUGCACCUUUUCGCACGUCCAAUUUCUUUCCAGUUUCUUCCGUGUUUUUAAACUUUUGCAUUAAAAAAAAAUUAACUCUCAAACUUCUAAAUCAUUUAUGAUUAACCUUUUGCUAUAUCUAUAGUUGGACAUAUUUAAAAUUCCAAUCCAAUUUUGUAAAUUCACAAUUUAUCUACAUAAAUGCAUAAUAACAAAUAUUUCUAAAGAAUCCUCUCUCAUUAUGACACAUGGGACUCUAGAUACCCUUUCAUUUCCUGUACCUUGACCCGGUAUUUCAUAGGGAUGAGGCGUCGCAGGAUCUAGGGUGGGACCUUGCUCCCCCCCCGGAAGGGGGGUUUGGGUUGUUGCGGAGAGCCUUGUGGGGAGGGGUUUUAGGGAAACCCUUCCCAAGAAACCAUGUGAGUAGUUUAAAAACCUGCUUAGGUCUAUAUCUGCUUCAUCCUAUAGAGAAUUGGAUUUUUUGCUUUCACUAUAAAAAGUGCUCCCCCUAAGCACUACCUAAAGCAUAUGCUUCCCACUCCCUAUAUAAUAUUUGUUUUGAUCACUUCACUUUAAAGACUUACGUUUUAUUAUAAUUAAUUACCUUUUAACAACUCAAUUAUCCUCAUAAAAUGUGCAUUUAUAUUAAAAAGCAAAUGAUUGCUCAAAUCUUUUACUUUUGCGCCAAUGGACUAUAUAUUGAUGUAGAAAAUAUUAGGUAUGAGUCUAAUCCGAGCAUGUGAAAAUUUUAGUGCACUCAUCAAGCAACACGUAUCGCUUAGGCCUCACUGUUGGCAAAACCUCUAACACCCUCACCUCUCUCCUCACUCUGAAAGGUGUUUUUUUUUUUUUUUUGAAUUUUUUAUUGAUUUUUCUAUUUUUCUUUCCUUUCUUUUCCUUUCUUUUUCUUUUUCCUCUUCAUCUUAAACCUUGAGCUUUCUUCUCCCCGAACAUGAACACCUCUAGUGUCACGCCCCGAUCCUCAGGCACGCACACAUCCCUUACUUUUGGUCGAUUUUAAAAUGCGAUAUCCCAGGACUAUGUAUCGCCGACCCUUUCAUUUAUAUAUGCACAUGCGGAAGCAGUUAUAAAUCCCCAAAUAAUAAAGCAAUGGGAUAGAAAAGCAUGCCAUAUAUUUUUCUUACUGAAAAUUCACAACUACAUCUUUUUACAUGCAUCUCAUAGUAUUCUACAAUACUAUAUAUACGCAACUCUGGUCUAACGUCUAUUCACAUGCAAACAAGGUCUAACAAGACAGGACAGGAUCUCGGUCCUCAUCUGGGUCGUACUUGAUGUCAUACUCGGGGUCCUCCUCCACGUACUCCUCUUCGGGUUCCUCAACAAGGAUCUCCUCGUUAGAUUCAUGCUCCUUAGGCUCCUCAUCCAGGUCCUGAAAUGGUUAUUCAAUAACCACUGAGACAACGUCUUAGCAAGUUCUACCUCCUAAGACCCGAUUAGCAAACUAAUACACCUUAGGGCUGCCUACGCACAACAUGAGUCAGAGAACUUACCUUAACCUCAGAUUCCACCUGCAUAUUAGUACAGAUCGAAUAGGUACAUAAGCAAUCACAUCACAGAUAAAAACAUCGAUCUAAUUGACUUAGUCGAUUUCAUAUCAGGAAGACCACUCACGAUCAUCUUCCUUCAAUCAUUCAAUUCACAACAUCAAACCAAGGCAAUGAAUCACAUCAAGUCACACUCAGAUCGAAUCAUCGAUCAAUCGACCUAGUCGAUACAAGCUAGUCGAAUCAUUUCUAGGUCAUUCAUCCCACACCAAGCAAUUUCUUAGAUUUAGUGGCUUUACGGUCCCACCUGACCCUCUCAAGAUCUAGUGGCUUUACGGUCCCACUCGACCCUCUCGAGAUUUAGUGGCUUUAUGGUCCCACCCGACCCUUUCAUGAUCUAGUGGCUUUACGGUCUCACCUGACCUUUCCAAGAUUUAGUGGCUUUAUGGUCCCACCCAACCUUUUUACAAUGCCAUACUAUGUCACCGAGCCACGUGCAUUCUCCAGGAAGACAUACCGAGUCUCCGAGCCACGUGCAUUCUCUAAGGCUACCUUCGCCAAGAUGACCAUAUCUAAUUCACCGAGCCACGGGUCUUUCCCCAAGUAACAAUUCCAAUUCACUGGGCCACGGUGCAUUCUCCAAGGUGGAUUAACCAAUUCACUUUCGAUACUAACAACCGAUACCCAACCAAUUCUUCAAUCACAAGGCCAAAAUUUCAUUAUUUAAUAACAUACUUAAAAAUGCACCAUUAAAUCAAUUCGACACGAAUUAAAGCUCAAAUAAAUAAAUGGAUUGCUCCACGAAAAUCAGCACAAAAUUCCAAUCACUGGCCAUCCCAGUUGAAUUUCCGGAAAAUAAAUAAUUAAAUAAAUCAUUUCGAAAAUUAAAUAAAUAAAUACAAUAAAUUCAAUUUAGCACAAUAUAAAGCUCAAUUAAAUAAACGGAUUGCACCACGAUCAUCAGCAUAAAAUCCUGAUCACUGGCCAUCCCAGUUGAAUUUCCGGGAAAUAAAUAAUUAAAUAAUUAAUUUCGAAAAUUAAUAUUUAAUUCCUAAAAAUACCACCUAGGCCCGAUUUGCUUAAUUAACACCCGAUAAGGGACGGGAAAAAUCCCAAGAAGCAUCCAAUAAAUACUAUAGGCAAUUCUCUAUCUAAUCACACUAAUCACACAAUUAAUAAGCAAAGCAAUUAACUAAUAAUCACUAAUAAGUUCUAAUUUAACAACCUAAUUACACUUAAUUAACCCUAAUCAACCUUUAAGUGCAAUUAGCAGACUAAGAAGGCAUUAGUGAGUAAAACUCACUUGAUUAAAUAUUUGCUCGGAUCAAAUCAAUGAGCACGCGACAAAGCUCGAUCUUCUCCAAGGUGAGUCCUCAAACCGGGGCCCGGAACGGCCCGAAAUCGGUCCCGCAAACUCACGGAGAGGCUGGGCUCUCUGAUCUUGCGUUGCUGGCCUUGCUAGUCGGUCCGAAUGGGUUGACCUCAGCUCGGUUCGGGGCUGAGAUGCGGCCAAACUGGAUGCGGGGAGGACUGCUUGAUUGAUGCUGCGCUGAUCUGGACUUGAGGAGCACCGCAAGGGACAAAUCCGGGCUGGCUUUGCUGCUGGAAAGGAAAGCGAAAUGGAGCCAUUUCGUGGAGGAGCCGGUGGUCAACAAAACAGCCAAAGAAACAGCUUCGGCCUUGCUGGGUUGACGGAAGAAGGUUGGGCUGCAGACGCGUGGCCACGAGCUGCUGAGCUUGCUCGAUGAAAACGGCCGCCAAGGAGAGAAAAAUUAAGGAGCAAGCUCCCUCGACCGAACCAAGGAGGAGCAGCAGAACAGAAACUGCGCUCGGCGAAGGAAAAGAAGAGAAAAGCGGGAUCGUGGGGGCAGCUGGCGGCUUGGUCGUAUACCGAGAGAAGAGAAGAGAUAAGAAUGCAGGGGGAGUUGUCGGCUGAAGAUUUAAGGAACGUGCAAAACAUCGAGAAAAAGAGAGGGAGAGAUGUGAUCGUAAAUGGAUAGGAAGGAAUGGGGGUCCCAUGGGUCAACACUUAAACAAAUGAAAGACCAAAGCAAUUUCAAAGAGGAUACGUGUAUGGGACCGUCGGUCAUGGGGUGUGCGCAAAAUAAAGAAAGAAAAGGGAGGGAAAAAGCAAAACAAAAUUUAUAACUUUGCUCAACUUCAACACAAGAAUAAUUGGUCAUCCUAGGCCAAUUUCAACCUCAAUUUGCUCCAUUGAAGUUCAAAAUAAGACGGUCCUUUAGUCUCACGAAUUUCCUUUGAAAUCGACUUUUAUUUCAUUUUUCUCGGCAUCCGACUUUUUGAACAAAUAAUUUCGUUUGAGGUCCAAUUCAAAUGCAGAAAAAGCUCAAACAACUUCCAUUCACCGAUUCACUUACACCAGAUAUCAAAAGUCUCUUCAAAUCGGCCAAUCUUAAUUUCCGUUCNNNNNNNNNNNNNNNNNNNNNNNNNNNNNNNNNNNNNNNNNNNNNNNNNNNNNNNNNNNNNNNNNNNNNNNNNNNNNNNNNNNNNNNNNNNNNNNNNNNNNNNNNNNNNNNNNNNNNNNNNNNNNNNNNNNNNNNNNNNNNNNNNNNNNNNNNNNNNNNNNNNNNNNNNNNNNNNNNNNNNNUAGUUUUCAGAACUUUUAGACAAUGACCCGUGUCGAUUUUCUUCGAGCACAAUGACCCACUCGACACAUGGCGACUUUCGAUUAUCGUGAGAUCUCGAGAAUCAAGUACGGACACAUGGUACCAAAACGACAGUAAAAUCAAAUUAGUGCCGGUCGACGAGAGUUUUCCAAUUUAGUGGAGUCACCCACGAUCGGUCAUUCAUCUCAGUCAAACCAACCUAUUUCUAAAGAUUAGCACGGUCGAGAAAUCGAUUCAUGGUCGAAUUCUCAGUCUAUUUGCCUUAAAGUCCUUAAUAGCCUACCCAGCUAGUCUAGUUAUCUUGUGAGUGGCCAACUCAGAGAAAAACAUGUAGUCGCGUCGAUGAAAUGCCCAAUUGAUCUAAUCGAAAUCCGAACCCGAAAAUCUAGAUGUCACAUCUAGCGCCUGUAGCCAGCCGAAGCAAGGAUUGCUUAGUGUCAUGACUCUAGCUACCAACUGCCAUCCUUCACCGUCGCAAAAACACGACCACCCGCCAAUUAUCUACUCGACUAGCGUCAGUCACCGCCAUCUUUUUUCCUUUGUUUUUUCUUCUUCUUCCCUUUCACUCUAAUGAGGACGACAACAUCUCCUUCCACUACCACCCCACCGCCAUCUCUGUCCACCACCUCUCCGUCGUUUUAGCCCUCCAUUGUCAAGCUCAAGCUCAGUUGGCGAACUUGAGCCUCAGAUAUUGUGAUCUAGAUUUCAACUCGACCUAGAAUCUGAGUUGAUUCACAGUCGAUCGAGUUUUGCUUAGACAAUAAAUAUGACAUCAUAAAUUUCUCAACCUGUUUUCUAUUGAAUUAAUCGGACAUUUCAUUGACACGUUUAUAGGGUUAUUCUCAGAGNNNNNNNNNNNNNNNNNNNNNNNNNNNNNNNNNNNNNNNNNNNNNNNNNNNNNNNNNNNNNNNNNNNNNNNNNNNNNNNNNNNNNNNNNNNNNNNNNNNNNNNNNNNNNNNNNNNNNNNNNNNNNNNNNNNNNNNNNNNNNNNNNNNNNNNNNNNNNNNNNNNNNNNNNNNNNNNNNNNNNNNNNNNNNNNNNNNNNNNNNNNNNNNNNNNNNNNNNNNNNNNNNNNNNNNNNNNNNNNNNNNNNNNNNNNNNNNNNNNNNNNNNNNNNNNNNNNNNNNNNNNNNNNNNNNNNNNNNNNNNNNNNNNNNNNNNNNNNNNNNNNNNNNNNNNNNNNNNNNNNNNNNNNNNNNNNNNNNNNNNNNNNNNNNNNNNNNNNNNNNNNNNNNNNNNNNNNNNNNNNNNNNGAAAGGGAAACGAGAUCAAUGAUGGCCAUUGCCAAUAAUGGGUGGAAAGGGAAGAAGUCCAAGAAAGUGACGAGGACGAUGUCUUUUCAUGUUGGCCACUCGUCGUUUCCUUUCUUCUCUAUUUGGUUCUGCUGAAUUUCCCCUUUAGAUGCCAAGGGGAAGAGUUCUUAAUGUCAUAGAGAGCUCCGAAGGCUGCACCGAGCAUAUUGAAAAGCGUGCUGAAAGUUCCUCUUGAUCACACCAAAUAUUUCUUUUCUGAAGCCUAUUAAAUCUUUUGUUGAGAUUUGUAUCAUUUCGUUAAGAGAUUGAAAAAAUUAUUUUGAGAGAAAUUUUAAAAACUAAACACUGUAUAGUUAUUGAGUAUAAUUAGAAAUUGGAAAUCACCGAGAGUAUUUAAAUGACUUGAGUGUGAUUAUAACUUUCUUUAUAUAUAUUUUUAUAUCUAUAAUGGAAUCUUGUGCUGCUCUCCUUAUAGACAUAUACCACACGAUUGAAUCACAUAAAUAUAAAUCUAGUGUCCGAUUCAUUUUCUUGUUUUGUACAUUUUAUUCAAUUGCUUUUUCUUUUCUUUUUUUCAAAAGGGAAUAUGGUUUGAAGAAAAGUGAAACCAAAGUAAAAGAUAUUCAAUAGGACCCGCAUUAGGCAUUCAUGAACAAAUGCAUGAAAAUGUAUCUUUUAUUUUCUUAAGAUAUCGAUAAAUAUUUAUAACCUUAAACUUGUGGUUAGUGAUAGAAUUUGUCCCAUCGCCUGCUUAACAUUAACUCUGAUCGUGAGUACGAGAUUCAAUGCAAUCUACACGACCCGUUUCUUCUAAUGUCCCUUUGACAAUGCAUAGUGAUGUUCUUUUAUUGCCAUUUGCUCCUUUAAAUUGUGUUAGCCCGUGUGUUUCAGUUUGACUCCUUCAUUUUCCACGACUUUAUGGUCAAAUAUAUUUUAUUUAUUUAGUUUUGAAUGCGAUAUAUCAAGAAAAUCAUAAAUUUGCAGCUACAUCUUGACAUAUUAAGUAUGUCUAUUUUGCAUGAUUUGACAUAGAUUCUCACGACAUUUAUUAGUGAUACAUUUUUUUGUAGCAUGAUUUACCUAAUCAUUUUCAUAUUUCAUCUCUAAAUAAGUUUUUGGUGGAAAGAAAUUGAAAAUCAUUAUGAACAUUAUUCNNNNNNNNNNNNNNNNNNNNNNNNNNNNNNNNNNNNNNNNNNNNNNNNNNNNNNNNNNNNNNNNNNNNNNNNNNNNNNNNNNNNNNNNNNNNNNNNNNNNNNNNNNNNNNNNNNNNNNNNNNNNNNNNNNNNNNNNNNNNNNNNNNNNNNNNNNNNNNNNNNNNNNNNNNNNNNNNNNNNNNNNNNNNNNNNNNNNNNNNNNNNNNNNNNNNNNNNNNNNNNNNNNNNNNNNNNNNNNNNNNNNNNNNNNNNNNNNNNNNCAUUCGGUUAGCUCCAUUCACAGAUGUAAGGAGACGCCGGGGUAAUGAGUAAAGACACUGUGAUCAAAUUUGAACAAAACGUCGUUUCAAAAAUAGCAUUCAAAAUACACAUAAUGCAUUCAUGACAGUUUUUAUGAACCCAACAUUUCACAAAUUAUGUAUAAAACAACAAUCCUUCCAAAGAUAUGGCAAUCGGAUCAUGACUAUGGUCAUCUUUGAUGCGCAACUUUCUACAACUCAGCAACACCUUUUGAAAAUGCUAUGAACAUGUGCAUCUUAUGUAGGGGUGAGCGGUUCUAGGUUCCGAUUUGGUUCCGUCUGGAACCUGGAACCUACCCUCGAGUACAGGUUCCAAAAGAUUUGGAAUCUGGAACCUACCCGUCAGAACCAAGAACCUGAAACCUACCCUAUCACAGGUUUCAGGGUCGGUUCUAGGUUCCAACAAUUUUUUUUUUGUUUUUUUUUUUUUCAGAUUUGAACUAUAACGUACACGCAUAUUAUGGGAAUCUUCAGCAUAGUCAAGAUGCUGGCUGUCACCAAUCUUUCUUCUCAAAUCAUAUGUUUUUAUCAAAACAUAGAAAUCCUUUUUGUAAGUCCGCGAAGAAGUUCUGCUAUGCUUAACCUGUUAACCGCAAGUUCAUAUUAGGAGCAAAUCUACCAAAAAUCAUGCUGGUGCAUAUUUCUGUUUUCAAGCAUUUAAAAUAUCCCUAUGAACACAAAAAAACCUAAUCCAAUCCUUAGAACAAAAGAAAACAACAAACUCACAGAAAAACGUAGAUUGGAGCGGUAGAAUGAUGUAAGCACAAUCUUUGUCUCCUUUGACAUGCAAAGGCAUCGAAUAACAUCUUCUCGAACACAGUUAGUAGCAGUAGCAGUCAAAGCCAUCAGUGGGAUGUCAAAUUUCAAGAACUUCAUCUUGGAGGUGCUGAAGUUCUCUCUUAACACAGAUAGUUUCCUGAAACGUGAAAAAACUUCAAUCAGGAAAGAAUCCUUACCAUAAUCUUUAAUCAUCAUAAUUGUCCCCUCUAUCAACUAGGAUAAUUAACAUGCAAAGCUGAACCAAUGGUCAAAGUCAUGGUAAAUAACCGAGCAACAAGUAAGAAAAAGAGAGAAGAAAUGACUGUAACGAAAAUCAAAUUUUAUUACAGAAAUGAAAGAUAGAUAUAUAUGAGGUAAAAUGACAGGUUUACCAUCGUGUCUAUGAUUAACAUAUGUGACACUUUUAGCAAGUCAGGUCUAAGAUGGUUAAUCACCUGCCAAACAAAUUAGGUAGUGCACAGAGAAAGAUCGGAUCAGAAGAAAAGGGUUAACCUGUAGUCAGGCUGAAAAUCAUGGCCCCAUUUCGAAACACAGUGGACUUCAUCAAUUGCAAAUAAUGCGAUUCCUCGGCCUGCUGCUAGACUUUGUAGUGGCUUUAUAGCCUGUAGGAAGAUCCAUAUCACUCGGUAAAAAAAAUGACAAGAGAUAACACCACUGCACAUGACAAUUAACUUUUGCUAGAUGCUAAUAAUCUGUAUAUUUUGAUAGAUGAUAACUCGUGCGCAAAUGACACAACCUAAAAGGAGUCCAUUUGAUCAUGCAUAUAUCCAUUAUGCGGCACAUUGUUAUCCUUGUCCUAUAUUGCCUCUACAAUUAAGGACCAGUAAUUCAUAAGAGCCACUUUGUAUAAGAGAACAUAACAUUCACCGUGCACACAAAGCACCACAUUCUAUGUUGACAAAAUUCACCCAGAUCACAGAGCCAGAUCACAUUCAUUGAGAACAGAACAUUCAUCCUCAGCACACCUUCAUUAUCAUCAACAAGAAGAACAACAUCGACAUGCGCUAAAAACGUCGCGUUAAGAACAACAUCGUCGCACUACAGGCAAUGAGAUGCACGCUAAGAACAACAUCGUGGCACUACAGGCAAUGAGACGUUCCAGGUGAUUCGCAAUCAUCAUCAGACGCGCAAAACGAUCGGCGGAAAGCGAGAUUAGAUGAGGACUGUACCUUGAUUAAUCUCAGCAAAUGCCGAAUUUAAGAGAAGGCAAAUCGUGCAAUGUUUCCAGAACAGGCACCCUCAGGCUUCGCGAUAAACAAGUCCAGCGACUAGCGUCGAGUGGUGGUAGCGUGGCUUGUGACGUUUGGCGGCGGCCUCAAGGGUGAGCGGCGUUGGUGACAGGCAAAGCGGCCUCGGCGACAGGCAAAGCACGGGAGAGACUGGUGUCGAGCGGCGAGGGUUCGGGCGAGUGGCGUUGGCGACUGGCAUCCAUGGCGUCUAGCGAUGGCGGCCUUGAGGGUGAGUGGUGUCUGGUGGUGAGAGUCAAAGUGGCGUCGGCGACAAGCAAAGGUAGAGUAUGGCAACAACUGGCGUCGAGCUGAGAGGGUUCGCGCAAGCGGCAUCGGUGACUGGCAUCUAGUGGUGUUCGGCGGCAGCGACCUUGAGGGCGAGCGGCGUCUGGCGGUGAGAGUCAAAGCGGCGUCGGUGAUGGGCAAAGGCAGCAUGGCAGCGACGGGGCGUUGAGUGGUGAGGGUUCACGCGAGCAACGUCAGCGACUAGCAUCCAGCGACGUCCGGCGACAACGGCCUUGAGGGCGAGCGGCGUCCGACGGUGUGAGUUCCAGGUCUGAAAUGAAAUCUGAAUAGGGAGCGCCAAGGAGGGGAGGGGGGCUCCUUUUGGAGCCUUAACCAGUUCCGCAACUGGUUCCGGUUCCGUUUUUGAAACCGAAACCGGAAUUGCCGAUUCCCGGAAAAGAGGAACCGGGCAUCGGAACCGGUCCCUUAAGAACCGGGAACCGAAUCGGAACCUCCUGUUCGGUUCUCCGGUUCCUGAUUCUACCCGAGAACCGUGCUCACCCCUAAUUUUAUGCUUUCAAGCCAUUGCCUCAAACGAUUGGAAUACAUAAAAGACGUUAGUGCUUGCUUUUUAGUAAAUCGAAAGGUCAUGCGAUACCAUAUUACAAGAUCCCCAAAAGAUGCCAACAUGCCAUCCUUUGAAAUCAUGUUUUUACCUUUUAAUUAAUCACGCAUGUUGCAUACAGCUUCAAUAAAUCCGAAAGGUUUUAGGCAUGUGUAAAUUGAUGUUAUCGGACGAUUAGUUUUUGGACCUAUUUCUUCAAUAGCUAAAGGUAGUCAAUAUGUGGUAUAGACAACGCCUCUAAGAGUGAGUAGUAACUAGCCGGAGGAGAGUUCUCAUCGAAGGCAUUUUGUCGCGACCAAUUUUUCGAGGGUAUGAACCACCUAGGGUUUGGCUAAUGGAUUGUUAAGCCUAGACUUAACUUGGGCUCUCCCAAGCCCAUACCAAUUCGCGACUUAGGUUUGAAUUGUUAACAUGCAAUUUUUUAAUUAGGAGUCGCCACUAAUCUAUUUUUGGUGGGUCGAUUAGAAACCCUAGUAAAGUAAUGGGAGAUUUACUUUACUCCUACGAACCAGAGACUAAGGGUACGGGGACUUGGUUACGUUAGAUUUCUCUAACGCCCUUACGGUACCUUUCUUUUUAUUUUGAAAAAUGUUUGGCAGGCAGCUUGAAUUGAUUUUGAACUAUCUCCCUAACAUGUGAGGUGUUCAUACAGGUGCGCAAACCACCAAUUUAAUACCCAAGAAAGCAAUUAAAUCAUGUAGAACUUACCUCAAAGCAACGAAAGCAUCUGCAGUGUUAAAUUAAAAUCCACAUCAACAAUCCUAGAUAUGGUUUCUAAUUAACACGCAAUUUCUUUCUUUUUGUUUUCACUUAUUAAGUGAAAAUAUAGUCAAUAUGCAAUGCAAUGCUAUUAAUUUAACAUGAAAUGAUAUAGCAUGGCGACAUAACCUAGACUAUAUAACAUAAAAAUUUUAUGAUCUCUUAAUGAGCAUGUAAUUGUUAAAUAUGCAAUGCAAAUUAACCAAAAUGACUUAAUUCUAAUGACGUGCAAUGCAAUGCAAUGACGUACAAAAUUAUUUCAUCUAAAUGACAUGCGACAUUGCAAUUUAAUAUGCGAACUAUAUGUCACGCGACAUUUAUUAAAUGACCUAAUCUGAUGACGGUCAAUUUCUAAUUAGAAAUAAACCUUAACAAUAAUCACUAAAUGACGUGCAUUGUAUGAAACUAAUUUUAUAUGACGUGCACAUGAUUUUUAUUUUCCUAAUAAGCAUGCAAUCUAUUUAGGAGAAAUUAUCUAAACCUAUAAUAUGCAAUCUUAGCCUGCAAUGACGUGCAAAGAAUGCUCUAAUUCUACAUGACAUAUGCAUAUGACAUUUUUUAUUAAAAAAAUGCAAUCUAUCUUAGAAAUUGCAACUAAUUUAUCCUAAGAAAAAUUUUAUGAAAUCUCAAAUGAUCUAUAGCUAGAUUAAGAUUCUAUCUAAUUUAAACUAGGGAUUAAGUCAUAUUAAAUCCUAAUUUAAACCAAAACAUUAUCUAAAUCUAAAAUGCCAUUUAUCUGAAAAAGAUGAUCUAAAAUGAAACAUGCAAUUCUAAUCUAAUAUGCACAAUGAUUUUUUUUUUUGUGUUUUUCUUUAAUCUCGAAAUUAAAAUUAAUACAUAAUUAACAUGCAAUUCAAAUAAAAAAAACUAAUAACCUAAAUGAAUGCACUUUCUUUUUUUGGAUUUUUUUUAUUUAAAAAAUUCAUAAUAAGAUUGCAUUCCUAAAUAUGCAAGAUGACAACAAACCUAAUCCUAAUUAAGAUUUUUUUGAUUUUUUAUUUUACGAAAAUAAGAUUUCACUCAACCAACUUGAUGAUAGCAAAUCAAACAAAAGAUAAGAUUGAUAUCCAAAAAUUGGCGAACCAUAUCUCGCGCAUGAGAUCGGGUUGACCAAUUUUAAUUUUAAAUCGCGAAUCAAAUCUCGGGCUUGAGAUUUGAUUGUUGAUUUUUAUAAGGGAUUGCGAGUCGGAUUUCAGGCGCGAAAAUCGGACUAUCAAUCCCUAGCUUGAGGGCACUUUCAUGUUGGAAUCUCAAUCAAACAUUUAAGAGGAACAAUUCCACUAAACAAAACCAAAUAUAAAGGAAAAUAAAUAAAAAAACUAUAACUGGAUAAGCAAUAAUAAUAAAAUAAAAGAAACUACAUAAAUCCCUUUUCCCUUUUUUUUUUUGUUUUUUUUCUUCUUUCCUUUUCCACGUGGAACCGUGGGUCUUCGAGGAGGUCCACCAGGAGUUAAUCGUCGGAGCUCCGACGAUGAGGACCAGCAGCGAGCGGAUUGGCGGCGAGCGGUGGCGUCGCGAGGAGCAGCGGUAGGCGAGAUCUCGGCCGGCGUCGCGGGUGCAGGUGCUCGGCUCCGACGGCACGGCAGCGAAUGGGACUGCAACUCGGGGAAUCUGGUCACAGUGUUGCGGUGGGCUCAGAUCUGCAGGCGAAGCGGCUGGCGUUCGGGCAGCGGUGAGGGGGGUGAGUAGCGGCGUCGAGCAGCAGCGAGGGGGUUGAGCAGCGGCGUCGGGCAGCAGCUCCGUUACGGCAGAUCAGGGACAGAGAUCGGCUGAGGCGCGAAGGGCUUUAUCUGGCCGGUGGAACGGAUCGACAAGGCAGCAGCAGUUUCGCAGGGGCGAUGGAGCUGGAACGCGGAUCCUGGGUCGUCGGGUUGGUAGGCGAAGCAGCAGCUCGGCCAGGAGGCGCGGCUCGUCGAAGGAGCAGCAAGGACCCGUGGAGCAAGGGCGCCCGGGCGGAGUGCGGUUACAGAUCUGUUCGGGUCUUGCUCCGGAUAGAGGGGAACGUUAGGCGUCGGACCAGAAGCGGCACAGCGAUGGCUUCAAGCGGGGGCGGCGGGAGCAGAGGCGAUCGGAGCAGGAGCAGCGUCAGUGGUGCUUGGUGAUGGCGAGCGAGAGAUCUACAGGUUGUGGGCUUCGGAGGCGCGGUGGAGGUGGGGCAAGGCGGCGACGUCCGAAGUGCAGCGAGCGCGGGCAGCAGUCGAUCCCACCGGAGAAGAAGAACAGUGUUUUUUUUCCUUUUUUUUUUAUUUCUUUCUCUCUCUUCCUGUCUCUCUCACGUUCUUUUCCUCUGCCCUGUGUACUUUCUGCAGCUUCUCCCUUUCUUUUCUUUUUCUGAAAUUUUUUUAGAGAAGCCCCCCCCCCAAACCCCUCGCACGCACGGCCUUUUAUAGGGGAGGGAAUUGGAUUUUCAAAUUCUUCAUCGAAUCAACCUUCGCAAAUCUUUUUAACAAAAUUCAUCUCAUAUUGAUAAGGAUUCGAGAUCAAGAUGAAAUUUUUUCUAAAUCCAAAUCUUUUAAAGACAAAUCGCAAUAUUUUUUACCCAUCUGCCCUAUCCAAAAAAGAUUCAUAUCUCGGAAAAAUUUUAAAAUAUUAUAUUCCCACAAGAUAAUUUUUAAUUAUUAAAAAGCACGGGCUUGGGCCAACCUGUUCGCUUCACGGGCCUGAUCCAUCUAAUUUGAAUAUAUCCGCCACUGGUCCAAUAAAAUGCAAAAAAUGCAAAUAACAAAAUAAAUGCAACUUAAAUCUAUAUGCUAUGCAAUUAAUAAAAUUAACCCCUAAUUUCCUAUGCAAUAAUAAAUUAAUUAAAUUAUCAAAAUUUAUGUGUCAACAGCUGCCCCUCUUUGAAGGUGAGCUCGUAGAUGUUGCAUUCAAAGACAAAUUGAAACCGAAAUUUUGACCAUGCACAUGCACUGAAUGACUUGAUCUUUGAUUUUUGAUUUUUUUUCUUUCCGGAAGAUGAAUUCCAUUUUAAAAUGCAAUUAAUAUGAUGCUUGAAAAUGCUAAUGCAAAUGCAUGAUGUGAAAGGAAAAUACGUACUUGCAAUUUCUUGCCAGUCAGUGCGGUAAAGCAUCUUGAGGUACAUGAUAAAUCCCCAUUUACUCUGUAAGUACCUAACUCUCACUCAGGUUCCUUGAAGAGUGUAACAGGUAAUAGGUUGAGACAUUGAGAUCGAGAAGACCAUUCACGUCCAAAGUGAAAUGUUCAAAGAAUUGAGACAUCCAGAUCCAGACUGAGAUGCCAAGAUUUCUGAACUCUAAAUACCUAGAUCCAGACUAAGGUAUAAUGAGAAGGAUCGAAAAACAUUCACAUCCAGAGUGAAAUGUUCAACGAAAAGAAUUAAGACAUCCAGAUCCAGACUGAGAUGUCAAGAGUUCUGAAUUCGAAAUACCUAGAUCCAGACUAAGGUAUAACGAGAAAUGUUGAAAAAAACAUUCACAUCCAGAGUGAAAUGUUUAGACAAAAAUAACUAAGACAUCCAGAUCCAAACUGAGAUGUCGAAAUUUUGGAAAUUGAAAUACCUAGAUCCAAACUAGGUAUAACAAGAAUAGUUGAAAAACAUUCACAUCCAGAGUGAAAUGUUGAAUGAAAAUAAUCAAGACAUCCGGGCCCAGACUGAGAUGUCAAGAGUUUGGGACUCGAAACUAAGGUAUGACGAGGAAGAUCGAAGAACAUUCACAUCCAGAGUGAAAUGCUCUAACGAAAAGAAUCAAGACAUCCGAGUCCAGACAGAGAUGUCAUGAUUUUUGAAAACUCGAAAUACCUAGAUCCAGACUAAGAUAUAACGAGGAAGAUUGAAGAACAUUCACAUCCAAAGUGAAAUGUUCAACAAAAAGAAUGGAGACAUCCAGAUCCAAACUGAGAUGUCUAAUUUUUGGAAAAUGGUAAAGAAACUUACCUGGAAUAUCUUACCUUCAAGGAGGGUAGAGUGAUCCAAAGUAGUUGAUGUUACAUAUCCAGGACUCGUACUUUUCUACGGUCACCUAACAUUGCAACAUUGAUUAUCUGACCAGGACUCAAACCUUUUCUCGAUCGCCUGAAUCUGAGGAAAACUUCUAGGGGACAACUCCGUCGAUUCUAGUGUCGGUGCAUUUGAGAGGGAAAUACCUGUGUAACGACGAGUAUUCGAGUAUUUAAGGUAUGGAUAGAGAUAUACUUACCUAGUAACAUCUCUAAUCCUGGGGGAUAUGUCUCCUGCAAAACAUGGUCAUAGGAGAGGUAAUAUGCAUUUAUGAUCACAAACAUGCAUUGAUUUAAGGGCGGUUCAUGCGCUGUGAUUUAUAUCAAGCAUGCAUCACCUAACUUCUAUUGGGAAGGAUUUCACAAAGAAUGUUCCAAUCUGAACACAUGAGUGUCAUGGAUGUACCAAAUGGGGGACCUCUUGGUCUGAAAGGACUUUUCACUCAUCCUCAUUAAAAUGGGUUGUUUUAUCCUGACUUUUGAUGCAGGAUUUUUGACAAUCACUCUAUCUCACUGUCAUCAUGCCAAACAAGGGUCUUGAGCAAUCUCGCAAGUGGUACGACCUUACCAAUCUGAGAGGACUUUAACAGGGACCGCAAUGUGAGGUUGGUCAACGGCUUAACAAAGGGGACUCUUUGAGUCGAGGCUAUUAAAAAAAUGAAUGAUAUUUCGCAAUCAUCCUAGGGUUUACAAGCCAAGAAACAUGAGAAAUGAAGCAGAAAUUAUCUUACUCGCACUUCUUUAAGCGGUGCUUUCAAACAUAUGAACUUUUACGUUAAUUCAAGUGCCCUAAUCUAAAGAGACUUUGCGAGGGACGUAACGUAGGCUAAGUUCAUGGGUUGAGAAACAAAAAGAUGAUUAUGCUCAAAAAGUGUUUAUGGGGUCAAAGUUGGUGACCAUCUUGACAUUUCCACCAAUUUUCCUCCUCAUCGUCGAAGAUUUUCUUCACUUCACAACUCCACUGAUUGCAAUAUCUCAACAUUUGAGUUUUUUUUUUUUAGGUACCCAUUUGUUAGGGAUACGACUCACUUCAUCAAGUGUUUGAUUUUUUCUUUGGGCAUUGGCUUUGCUUUUACCAGGCACACUGCUUUUUCAUGCCCCAUUUUUGCACUCUUUUUUUUUUUACAAAGUCUUCAUUUUUAUCAGCAUUGUAAACCAUGCUACUUGAGUGGUUUGAUUUUUCCUUGCCCCAAUGUGGGGGAUAAUCACCAACUAGGCUUAAUAUGAAACGAAUUCAUAGGCUCAAAUGGGCUAUGCAAUGGAUAAUAUAGUGUGGAUAGAGAAAGAACUGCUCUUCGUCAUUCUAAGGCACUUCAAAUUAUCGUACAAGUUACACUGCGAAAACAAUACUCGAAGAUUGAUGCAAGUUUGAGUAAGAAAAUUCCUACGAUUUCAUUUCAAACUUUGUCCCAGUAUGGGAUGAUCCUUGACAGGGAUAACUUUAGAAGCUUUUCUGUGUGUGGGCUCAAAGGGCUGAACAAUGGAUAUAUUUGUAAUGUUUCGGGUAGCAGAAGAAACUGCCUCUCAUCACCUUAGUUGACGUACCCUUUGCGAGAUCACCCUUUUCCUCAUAGGCAUGGAAUUUUUCACACAACUCACUGGGGGUUUGUGUAUGGAAUGGGUUUGCCUUUCAUCAUUCCAAAGUAUCCCAUUUCACACAUUCAAUCCAUCUCACACAAUUCAUCAAGGAAGAAAAAUGUAAGAUUUGCAGCAAAUUUGAACGAUUCAAUUCACUGAGAAAAUUUACUCAUCGUAGAAAUGCUUGCAGCUCAAAUCAUGACAUAGCAAAUUCUAUCAUGGAUAAUACUUCUUGAAAGCAUUAGAAUUUACUAGAGUUUGAAAACUCAUGACCAUCCAUUUUUGCUAGGAUGGCACCUCUUGAAAGUACCUUCCUUACCACAUAUAGGCUGUAAUUUGGAGCAAACUUACCCCCAGGAUCUUCCACCGAAGAAUGAUGGUUCUCAUUUACUUGCCCCAAAUCUUUUUUCAUUGCAAGUGCGCUCUAAAUCUAUUGAUCACAAGUUAAGUAUAUGAUCAUUGAAACUUGAUACGUUAUUCUCAGAUGUCCCUUGUCAUAACAAGUUAUAGAAUUAUGCUCUGAGACAAGAAGCAAAUGAGUUAGAUAAACAAACAGGUUUAAUCUGCUACAAGUUUUGGGAAUUUUUUUUUAGCAGUGAAAUGCUUUUGUUUUUGAAAAGGUUUUUGGGAAGAAACAUGAAAGAGUCCAGCCCUCAGGAUUUCUCCGUGGAUGAUAUUUUCUUUUUCAUGGUUGGAUAUCAUCAUUGGACUGGUUUGGAGUACCCCAUCAUGUCCUCAAAAUUGGAAAUAAAAUUGUAAUUUCAUUGAAUAGAAUCAAAUGAAUUACAUUAUUAGAAUGGAAAUUGUGAUUCCUAACCCCUAAAAAGAGAAAACAUCAAAAAUGAUUCCUAAAAAGCGGAAACCAAUCCCAAAAAGUGAUAAACAUUCCUAGAAAGCGAUAAAAAUUCCUGCGCAGGGGAAUGUGCAACAGUAACAAGUUACUAUUGCAGGCUAACGUCCAUGUCUUCCGAAGGUCCUUCGUCAUUGGUUCCUAUGAAGAGGUCAUCGAACAGACUUGUGAUUCCUUCCAGGGCAUCAUCAGAGUUCUCUGUCUUUGGAGACGUCGGAUCGUCCAUGUCAUCCCAUCCACUUGGAACUAUGUUGCGGGAGUCAAAGUAAAAGCUGGGAGGAGCCGAACACUUCACUAAGUAAUCAAACUUGCCACUAGACUGCCCUAGAGUGUCCAUCACUUCCACUUCAUCCUGCCCCAUCUUAGGGACAUUGUCAGGUUUAGGUUUUUCAGCAGUGACCAACAGUGGGUCAUCUUCCAGGUCAAGCAUGUCACCAUUGCCCAUUUGGGUCUUACCUGACUGCUUCAGGACUACUGUCUCAGGGAGAGUAGGUGCAAGAGUCAAAUCCGUUUGGAGGGAUUGGAUUUGAGCUGUCAUGAAUUGCAUAGAGGUGAGCAACUGUCGGAGUUGGUCUUCCAUAGCGGAGAUACGAUCACGCAUUUCGGUUUGGUCGGCCAUUCUAGCUCUCGAUCGCGUAAUACGCGGAGGAUUCGUUAUCACCUAAUUCAAAUGAAAAAUAUAUAAGUAUGAGGUGCAAAUAAAGAAUCAAUCCAUGACAAUGAUCUAUCAACUUUUUUUCAUCAUUUUUUUUUCAUAAAAAAACUCUUACAAGGAGGGAAUUUCCUAAAGAGAGCUAGAAAAAUAGACAUCCUAGUAAAAUCAAAUUUCCUAGACAUGAAUUGAAAACAAAUUCUCCAAAGUUUUUUUUUAUUUUCCAAAUGAUUUAUUGCAUUACAAUUUCCUCAUUUCAUUAUUGAAAGGAAUUAGAUCAAAUGACUAUCUUAGAUUGUCAUGGAUAGACCAAAAGCAUGACAAAAUAAAUUGCAUGGUAUAGGGAUAGAAAACUUACUUUACCAAGAAAAUUCGACGGCAAUCACAUAGACAUGCGCAUGGUGAGUGGCUCGAUUUCUAAUCUAUAAGGCUUAUCAAGGUGGAGCCACAAGGAUGAUCAGACUAGCCACGGGCUUGUGGACUAUGUCGGGUCCUCAUGACUUCGGCUUGGUCGAAGAGCCGACCUGGGUCGCGGGCAUGCGGACUGAGGUGGGUACUCUUGACACCAUGAAAGAAACUUCGGGAUUGAGAUGGGCGACUCGUACCGCGAGCAUGCGGUCGAAGUGGUAUCCAUCUCAAUACCAUCCUAAAUGAUCCUGUGCGGCCCAGGUCCGGCAGCAGGUUGUGUGUGCAAAGUGUAGUGAUUUAUGCAAAGCAUGCAUAGCAAUUUAAAUCAAACAACACUUCAAUAUAAAAAUAAACCAUACAUUUCUUACACCUCCCUGCAAGGCAAGGGUUAGUAAUCACUUCCCCUUAUACCUCCCAAUCUGCAAGAACAUUUAACACCUAAAUGUUAGGGACGUACCUGGGAUCCUUGCUGCCAAACAAAAAUAUUUUUCAAAAAAAGAAAAUUGGCCUAAGUCCACUAAGAGUUUCAACUCAAGUCCCCAGCGGAGUCGCCAAGCUGUCGCGACCAAUUUUUCGAGGGUAUGAACCACCUAGGGUUUGGCUAAUGGAUUGUUAAGCCUAGACUUAACUUGGGCUCUCCCAAGCCCAUACCAAUUCGCGACUUAGGUUUGAAUUGUUAACAUGCAAUUUUUUAAUUAGGAGUCGCCACUAAUCUAUUUUUGGUGGGUCGAUUAGAAACCCUAGUAAAGUAAUGGGAGAUUUACUUUACUCCUACGAACCAGAGACUAAGGGUACGGGGACUUGGUUACGUUAGAUUUCUCUAACGCCCUUUCGGUACCUUUCUUUUUAUUUUGAAAAAUGUUUGGCAGGUAGCUUGAAUUGAUUUUAAACUAUCUCCCUAACAUGUGAGGUGUUCAUACAGGUGCGCAAACCACCAAUUUAAUACCCAAGAAAGCAAUUAAAUCAUGUAGAACUUACAUCAAAGCAACGAAAGCAUCUGCAGUGUUAAAUUAAAAUCCACAUCAACAAUCCUAGAUAUGGUUUCUAAUUAACACGCAAUUUCUUUCUUUUUGUUUUCACUUAUUAAGUGAAAAUAUAGUCAAUAUGCAAUGCAAUGCUAUUAAUUUAACAUGAAAUGAUAUAGCAUGGCGACAUAACCUAGACUAUAUAACAUAAAAAUUUUAUGAUCUCUUAAUGAGCAUGCAAUUGUUAAAUAUGCAAUGCAAAUUAACCAAAAUGACUUAAUUCUAAUGACGUGCAAUGCAAUGCAAUGACGUACAAAAUUAUUUCAUCUAAAAUGACAUGCGACAUUGCAAUUUAAUAUGCGAACUAUAUGUCACGCGACAUUUAUUAAAUGACCUAAUCUGAUGACGGUCAAUUUCUAAUUAGAAAUAAACCUAACAAUAAUCACUAAAUGACGUGCAUUGUAUGAAACUAAUUUUAUAUGAUGUGCACAUGAUUUUUAUUUUCCUAAUAAGCAUGCAAUCUAUUUAGGAGAAAUUAUCUAAACCUAUAAUAUGCAAUCUUAGCCUGCAAUGACGUGCAAAGAAUGCUCUAAUUCUACAUGACAUAUGCAUAUGACAUUUUUUAUUAAAAAAAUGCAAUCUAUCUUAGAAAUUGCUUAGAAAUUGCAACUAAUUUAUCCUAAGAAAAAUUUUAUGAAAUCUCAAAUGAUCUAUAGCUAGAUUAAGAUUCUAUCUAAUUUAAACUAGGGAUUAAGUCAUAUUAAAUCCUAAUUUAAACCAAAACAUUAUCUAAAUCUAAAAUGCCAUUUAUCUGAAAAAGAUGAUCUAAAAUGAAACAUGCAAUUCUAAUCUAAUAUGCACAAUGAUUUUUUUUUUGUGUUUUUCUUUAAUCUCGAAAUUAAAAUUAAUACAUAAUUAACAUGCAAUUCAAAUAAAAAAAACUAAUAACCUAAAUGAAUGCACUUUCUUUUUUUGGAUUUUUUUUAUUUAAAAAAUUCAUAAUAAGAUUGCAUUCCUAAAUAUGCAAGAUGACAACAAACCUAAUCCUAAUUAAGAUUUUUUUGAUUUUUUAUUUUACGAAAAUAAGAUUUCACUCAACCAACUUGAUGAUAGCAAAUCAAACAAAAGAUAAGAUUGAUAUCCAAAAAUUGGCGAACCAUAUCUCGCGCAUGAGAUCGGGUUGACCAAUUUUAAUUUUAAAUCGCGAAUCAAAUCUCGGGCUUGAGAUUUGAUUGUUGAUUUUUAUAAGGGAUUGCGAGUCGGAUUUCAGGCACGAAAAUCGGACUAUCAAUCCCUAGCUUGAGGGCACCUUCAUGUUGGAAUCUCAAUCAAACAUUUAAGAGGAACAAUUCCACUGAACAAAACCAAAUAUAAAGGAAAAUAAAUAAAAAAACUAUAACUGGAUAAGCAAUAAUAAUAAAAUAAAAGAAACUACCUAAAUCCCUUUUCCUUUUUUUUUUUGUUUUUUUUUCUUCUUUCCUUUUCCACGUGGAACCGUGGGUCUUCGAGGAGGUCCACCAGGAGUUAAUCGUCGGAGCUCCGGCGAUGAGGACCAGCAGCUAGCGGAUCGGCGGUGAGCGGUGGCGUCGCGAGGAGCAGCGGCAGGCGAGAUCUCGACCGGCGUCGUGGGUGCAGGUGCUCGGCUCCGACGGCACGGCAGCGAAUGGGACUGCAACUCGGGGAAUCUGGUCACAGUGUUGCGGUGGGCUCGGAUCUGCAGGCGAAGCGGCUGGCGUUCGGGCAGCGGCGAGGGGGGUGAGCAGCGACGUCGGGCAGCGGCGAGGGGGGUGAGCAGCGGCAUCGGGCAGCAGCGAGGGGGUUGAGCAGCGGCGUCGGGCAGCAGCGAGGGGGUUGAGCAGCGGCGUCGGGCAGCAGCGAGGGGGUUGAGCAGCGGCGUAGGGCAGCAGCUUCGUUACGGCAGAUCAGGGACAGAGAUCGGCUGAGGCGCGAAGGGCUUUGUCUGGCCGGUGGAACGGAUCGACAAGGCAGCAGCAGUUUCGCAGGGGCGACGGAGCUGGAACGCGGAUCCUGGGUCGUCGGGUUGGUAGGCGAAGCAGCAGCUCGGCCAGGAGGCGCGGCUCGUCGAAGGAGCAGCAGCGGCGCUCGAGCAGCAAGGACCCGUGGAGCAAGGGCGCCCGGGCGGAGUGCGGUUACAGAUCUGUUCGGGUCUUGCUCCGGAUAGAGGGGAACGUUAGGCGUCGGACCAGAAGCGGCACAGCGGUGGCUUCAAGCGGCGGCGGCGGGAGCAGAGGCGACCGGAGCAGGAGCAACGUCAGUGGUGCUUGGUGAUGGCGAGCGAGAGACCUGCAGGUUGCGGGCUUCGGAGGUGCGGCGGAGGUGGGGCAAGGCGGCGUCGUCCGAAGUGCAGCGAGCGCGGGCAGCAGUCGAUCCCACCGGAGAAGAAGAAUAGUGCUUUUUUUCCUUUCUUUUUAUUUCUUUCUCUCUCUUCCUAUCUCUCUCACGUUCUUUUCCUCUGCCCGGUGUACUUUUGCAGCUUCUCCCUUUCUUUUCUUUUUCUGAAUUUUUUUAGAGAAGCCCCCCCCCCAAACCCCUCGCACGCACGGCCUUUUAUAGGGGAGGGAAUUGGAUUUUCAAAUUCUUCAUCGAAUCAACCUUCGCAAAUCUUUUUAACAAAAUUCAUCUCAUAUUGAUAAGCAUUCGAGAUCAAGAUGAAAUUUUUUCUAAAUCCAAAUCUUUUAAAGACAAAUCGCAAUAUUUUUUACCCAUCUGCCCAAUCCAAAAAAGAUUCAUAUCUCGGAAAAAUUUUAAAAUAUUAUAUUCCCACAAGAUAAUUUUUAAUUAUUAAAAAGCACGGGCUUGGGCCAACCUGUUCGCUUCACGGGCCUGAUCCAUCUAAUUUGAAUAUAUCCGCCACCGGUCCAAUAAAAUGCAAAAAAUGCAAAAAACAAAAUAAAUGCAACUUAAAUCUAUAUGCUAUGCAAUUAAUAAAAUUAAUCCCUAAUUUCCUAUGCAAUAAAUAAAUAAUUAAAUCAUUAAAAUUUAGGUGUCAACACAUUUCUACAAAAAAGUUUAGAUGUGUUUAUUUUGAGUGCAUGCCUCAUUGUUCGUCAAAUUUCUGCCAUUCUUUUGUAUUGGACAAUUCAGUAAUAAUAACAUUACAUUCAUUAAAACAUUACAUUCAUUAAUGGGAGCUUUAAUUACAUUCUUAAUGCGAAAAGCUUCUCCACCGUGUCAUCCUUCUUUGGAAACUUACAGAAGAAGAAUUAAGGCGUUGCAUGAGAAAAGGAGAAAAGAACGUCUAUUAUGAGAAAUAAACAAAGAAAUUCUUGAUUUGAAUGCCUGACGUCCGAUGCCACUUUCUUUAGCGAGAGACAUCAUUUUGGACGUUUGUAUCGCGUGACUCACACGAUUCAAUUGAAACUUAUGAACGACAACUUCACAGCAGUUGCAGCUUUCAAUUUAUAGUCAAUAAAGUUAAUGGCUUUAGAAAAAAAUGAAAUGGAGGAGAAUAAUGGAGGUGAACCUUUUUCCAAACCCAAUUUCUUUCGAGUUUCUUUGUUAGAGCUAACAUUAUCACUUAAAAAUGGGUGAAUAGGUGAUUAUAAACAAUUAAAGCGGAGUUUAAAACAACCAAGUUCGAUAUCAUGAAAAACAAAAUUUGAUGAAAAACUUUGUAGUGAUCAGAUUUUCUGCAACGUCUAAUGAAAAACUACACAAUAAUCAGACUUUACUAUGUGCAAUAAAUAGAAUAAAUGAGAGAUUAAAGAAUAGAGAAAAUCGCACACAACAAUUAUAGUGGUUCGGCUUAUGAUAAGCCUACAUUCACUCUUCCAUGCUAUAGCCUAUUGGUUGGAUUCCACUAUGAAGAACUAAUAAGAGCUUACAAGAUAUGAGCUCUAAACACUCAAGUUCAUGUGUAUGACUCCUCACACACUCUCAAAUUAUACAAUGAUACUCAUAGAGAUGAAUGUAUUUGACCACAAAACACUCUUUAGACUUUGGAAUUAUAAGUUUCGAUUUUCUUGUGUUGCGUUUUUCCUUUUAGCUUUCAGACCUCCUUUUAUACUUCUCCCAAACCAAGCUAACCAUUGGACAUAUAUCCAAAAAGAUUAUCCAGCCAAUCUACUUGUUGGCCUGGAUCUCAUUAAGAAUGUUUGAUCACUUCAAGGAUGCUGAGAAUAAAGCUUCCCAUAGAUUUUGCUUCUCAUACAGCAGUUUGGGUUUUCAUAAGUCGAGUGCUUCAAUUUAAAAAGAAUGUUUCGCCUCAAGUAUAUCGUUCUAGGAAAGACAAGGAAUCCAAUCAAUCGCCACUAACCUUUACAUGAGGAUAUUGUCUCCUUCCUAGCUGUUUGAUAGAGUACAUAAGAAAUGAAAUAAUUAAGUCAUAACUCUGGUUCUAAUUGACAUCAUCUGGUCAUAUUCCAUUAGAUUUUGCACUUGAAAAAUACUUAUCAUCACUUCCCAUGCUGAACCUUCUUGACUAGCUCAACGCUCUCUCUCUCUCCAUGCAUACGUGUCUGACAUCCAAUCGAGGUUGAGACAAGACAUGUGACCUCCAUUGGUGGAGGCGCUCAAGUUCAUAUCUGGAUCGCCCAACUUGUCCUCCUAUCUAGUCUAAAUUGAAUUAGCUAGUUAAUCGUAUCCACGUAGGUAUCCUCAUUGACGUAUUAAAUGGCUAGUUAAUAUUAUUAAUUGCCUCAUCAGCAAUUUUUGUUAGUCAACUUAAUGAAAAUAUUGAAUGAAAUUCAUGAAGUACAAGUACCAUUAUAUUGCCAGAUAUUUUUGGGGCAGCAUUGAAAAAUAGGGAAAAGUUUAGGGAGCAUAAUUAAAUGAAUGCGUGGUUUAAUAUUUAAAUAUUCUUACACCCAUACUAUUACUGAAAAACAAAAGAAGAUAAUACAAAUCAUCAAGAUCUUUAAUCGGGUACCUAAGCGAGAGAGCUUGAUUAAUAGAGAAAGGUCUUUAAUGGGAAUCAUAUUUGCAGAGAAGGGACGUGAAUAAUGUAUGUUUUACCUCUAGCUAGAUCAUUCAAUGCAACUGAGUGAUGUGAAGAUGCUAUUCUGUUAAUUUGUUUCAAUCUCCCUUAUGGAAACUAGUAGAAACGUUUUCUUGUAGAUUACAAGAACCAAUCCUCGGCUUUCACUUAAAAUACUAACUUCAUAUCCACUAAUUCCGAAAUCUAUCCACACUUUGCAACAAGAGGUUUCAAAAAAAAAAAAAAUGUACAGUUCGCACGAUCUAAUUUCCACAAUUUUUUAGACUCAAAAAGAUAUUAAAUCUGACCUUUUUUUUUACAUCAAGGCGCAAAAUGCAUGCUCAAAAUAAUAGCAGACGCAAAAUAAAUCAUAAUAAAAAGUUGAUAAUGAUUUUUGUGUUUUCCAUGCAUAAUGAAAAAUGUAGUUGAGCCACAUAGGCAAAUAAAAGAUUAAUGGAAAAAUUGUCUAAUUGGUAUUAAACCUAUUGUAAGGACAUUAAUUCAAUUAUAAAUUAUCCAUUUUUACCAAUUUAGCGUUAAAAUUUUACCCCAAAUUCUAGAUUUCUAUUUAAAAUUGGCCAGAAUGACUAUAUUGAAAUUUUGCGUAAAAGUUGAAGACUAAAUUAUAAAAUUGAAAGGUUUAUGACCAAAGUGACAUCCGUUAAAUAAGUUUAGGACUGAUUGGAUAAUUUUUUGAAGGAUUAACCGCUCCGUUAUUUUCUCUACUCUUAUAGCCCGUUUGGAUAAGAAAAUAAAUAAUAUAUAAAAAACACACACAUUUAUAUAAAUUAAAAAAGAAGUAUAUAUUUUUGUCUUACAAAAAAGAGAUGUGUGAUAUCUUUCACCCAGAUGGUUUUCAUUAAGUUUAGGGCGCGAAUGGUAACGUUUCUGUUCUUUUUUUGUUCAAGGGAAAAGAAACAAAAAAAAGUGUUUCUAUUCCGGGGAACAAUUUUUGAACAAAAGAACACGUUUGGUAACGUUUGGUCCGGGAAUAAAAAAUGAACAGAAACACGUUUGGUAAAUUUUAUUCUUUUUUUAUUUCUUUUAAUUUUUUAAACAUUUUUAUUUUAUUUUUUAUUUUUUCCUUUCUUUUUAUUUUUUCUUUUUUCCGGCCGGUCCCCGGCCUCCGGCGACCGGCCGACGAGGCCGGCAGCCUCGCCCAGCCACGGCGAGGCUCGCCGGCCCUCGCCGUGGUUGGGCGAGGCUNNNNNNNNNNNNNNNNNNNNNNNNNNNNNNNNNNNNNNNNNNNNNNNNNNNNNNNNNNNNNNNNNNNNNNNNNNNNNNNNNNNNNNNNNNNNNNNNNNNNAUAUGGCUUUGAGCUCAUGGCCAUGGCCAUAUAAGUUCAAAGCUUGCAAAGCUUGAGGCAGCCAUGGCUGUCAAGCUUCGGAGCUUGCUUGCGGUUGACAUUGCUACUCAAGCUCGAAGCCUGUGACCAUCAUGGCCAAAUUUGGCUUCAAAGCUCUAGAUCUGGCCUUGAAGUUUACGGUCCAUAUCCGUUUGAGCUAGAAGCUUGCGAUUUGCCAUGGUUAGAUCUACUUCAAAGUUCACAACUGCCAUGACCACUUGAACUUAAGCUUGAAACACGUGGUUGUCAUGACUUCUUGAGCUUGAAGCUCGUGGCCAGGGUAGAGAUCGAGCGGCCACGGGGUUGAGAUCUAAAGGUCGUAGAUCUCAUCUACGAGCUCUCAAUCGCCAUGGCUGCUCGAGCAUUUGAGCUGCAGCCAAGGCUACAGGAAGAAUCCAGGUCAAAAAUAGAGUCAAUUUUUGAAUAUAAAGAAAAAAUAUAUAAUAUAGAGAAAUUAACGACGUUUCCACCACAUCAACAAAUAUUCACAACGGCCCCAAAAUAUAUAGCAACAUUUGAGUUAAGGCUUAGCUUCAAAGCCAUUUGAGUUUUAAAAGCCCAAAAAAUGAAAAAGUACCAAAUUCCAAUGUUAAAUUAAACGAAAAUUCACAACAGACCCAAAAUCUACUUAAAACAAAAAAGCAUGAAUGAAAAAUAAAAUAGAAGGCCAAGGAACGCUGCAGCUUCUUCGGUAAAUAGUCCUACAGAUGGUUUGAGUUCUUUCGUUUGAUUAAUUUCUUUGAUAAAGUUAUUUUUUUUUCAGGUGAUUUUUUUUCAGGUGAUUUUUUUUCAGGUGAUUUUUUUUUCAGCUUCAAUGAGAGCUUGCAUUCCGAGAAGAGCAGGUUCUGCACUGGCUGGCACUCACUGCGGAACUCACCACCUAUGUAGCACCGACACGUACACGCGACACGACAUAUCGACACAUCAUUUCUUAAAAAUAGAUAAUUUUGACACAUUCCGAUACAUUAUAUAUUAAAUAUAUUUUUAAUAAUAGAAUUAAUUUACACGAAAAAUAUUAAAUAAUAUUAUUCAUUAUUUUAAUUUGAUACAAUAAUACACAAAACUUAAAGGAAAAAAAUUAUUUAAAGAAAAAUGCUGAAAUGAUAUUUUUAAAUUUAUUUAUUUAUAGCAUUUUUUUUAUUACUUCUUUCAUAGUAAAAGACUUUAAAAAAAAUAAAACAAUUCUAAAAAAACAAAACUGAAAAAAAAAAUUGACCCCGUGUGUGUAUAUUUAUAACAAUUUUAUUACUUCUUUUGAUCCCUCAAGUAUUAGAAAUUUUUAAAAUUGACCCCGUGUGUGUCGGAAUCGCAUGUCGAAAUUCUGGACUCGCGUGUCGGAGCGUGUCGGAGAGAGUUUAUCACGUGUCGGAUUUUUCGACACUCAUUGACCGCGUGUUGGAGCGUGUCGGAACGUGUCGAAGUGUGUCGGACAUGUGUCAGAGUGUCGGACACGACACAAAAGCUUCCGGAGAGUGUCCGUGCUACAUAGCUCACCACUAGCUGACUUGAGCAGCCUCUUCAUUUCGCCAGCCCUCGUCUCGUACCGCACAGUGUAGGCCUUGAUUCCUGGGUGUUUCUGCUCAAACUUCGAGACGAGGUUCUCAUUCUCGUGCAGGAAGAUGGUGCGACCGUCAAAGUUGAGAACUUUGUACAGGAGGGCCUCGCGGUAAGGCCGAAAACUAAAAGGUUGCAGUGGGAGGCAGCAGCGGCACAACGGGCGACUGCGGCGGUUACGGUGGCAAGCUCAGCGGACAUCAUUAUGUGGGUGGACUUGGCAGUGGCGGCAUAGUGGAGGAGGGUGGCGGAUAUGGAAAGUGGAAGCGGGACUGAAGAGGUGGCACAACCCGUGGGAGUGCUUGUGUAGUGUAGGUGGUGAGUAGGGUUAGAAUGAAGGCGUUGGUGAAGAGCGUGCUGAUGAAGAUGAACCACCAGCUAUUGGUGUUUGAAGAUGAUUGCUUUUGGAUCGUGGGAUGGAGCAGGCCAUAAGGUCCAAAGACCAAAUCUACAUGAAUGAGGAGCAUACGGCCCAAAUCUGAACAAACAAUUCUGAGGUCAUCAAUUAAGACGGUUUGUAUGGUCCGCAGAAAACAUUGAUUGAUUGCGCGACCAGUCUCUGCAAACCCCAGUCUAGUUCACCUGAAAUUAAUCGUCCUAACCCCGGAAUUCGAAUCCCAGGGGAUGGAGUAUUAACUUUGUGCUUUUCUUCUCUUAAAAUCUCUCUCUCUCUCUCUCUCUCUAAGUAAUUUGUUCAUUUCAUUUAACAUAGUCAGAGAAUUGCAGCGGGCACUGUAUAUAUUAGUGUGACUAGAUAAUGGGGAAAUCACUACGAUGGAAGAAUUCUUGCCCAAAGAAAAACAACAAACGGAACAAAACAGAUAAAACUAAAAUAAGCCUACCUUCCAUAUUGACCUCUUAUCGAUGGGUAGUACUUCAUCUCCUGCACAAGUCUAGUUUAUAGCAUUAAAAGAAAAAUAGCUCGAAUGUGAUUGAUGCAGGUAGAAGGACAAAUUAAUGAACAAAAAUUUAGGGGCUUGUUUUGCACAAAAUUAAGAAUCAAUGAAAAAUAUGAACGAAAAUGUAUAGAGCUUUGUUAAUAACGAAAAUAAUCUUCUGUUGACUAAUUAUUUUAAACAAUACAGACAAUCAUUUCUUGGAAAAAAAAUAAUUUUGAAAUCAUCAAUUUCCCAUAAAACAAACGCACCAUUGACAAAUGAAAAUCACGUCACAUAAUUCUCAUGGUGCAAAAAUAUCUAACUAGAUAAUUACUAAAUAUUGAAAUGAAUCACCUAAAAUCCCAACAAAAUUUCUAAAAUACAAUGAUUAUAAAGAAAUAAACUUAAUUAUAAUCCUAGAAAAUAUUUGCCAGAUAGACAUUUCAUUCUUUUGCAAAACAUAUUUUUACUUUGAAUUGAUGAAAGAAUUAUGAGAGAUCUUUCUUCUUCUUCUUUUUAUUUCUUUUAGAAAUUUGCACACGCAAGUGUGUUUGCAUUUGUACCUAUAUUUGUGGAUCUAAUUAUCCGUGUUUUUAUCGUUUCUACCAUGUAAUGCCAUUUCUUUUGUAAGCAUUUUCAAUUAAAGGAAUUAAGGAACCGCAUCAUACCGAUGAAAACAAAAUUGGGCCUUUUGAAGUUAUCCUAAAAAUUUGAUCAUAGUGAUGAAACAGUAAAGAGAUGAAUAAAGGUGGGGCAUCACUGUCAUUUGACUUCACUCACUCGUGCGCACCAUUAACUCCAUUAUUGGGGCCGCAAGAAGGUCUGAUUGAUUCAAUCAUGGAGGGAUUUGCUGUUGGACAUGGACAUCAGGCCAUGUCAUGUCUUUUGGGGUUCGUUGAUGUCGGUGGCAAAUAAUACAAAUCGUCUCCUAACUAAAGACCAAGGUAAUAGUAGCAUCCGAUUUUGCUCGGUAUUCAAGGCUGGCCAAUACCGCUGGUGUAAUCACCACUGGUGUGGUCCUGUUGUGCCUCACCGCCGUCGCUCCUCAUGCUGAACCUCCGGGCCUAGCUCAAACCACCCCCCCAACCCUCCUCUCUCUGACUUCUGAUGGAGACUGAGGCUAGGCACAUAACCUCCAUUGAUGAUGGUGCUCAACUUCAUAUCUAGGUCGCACGACCUGAUGUCAUAACCAGUCUAAAUUGAACAACCAGCCUUCGAUGUCCAUGCAGGUGUCCUCGUCAACAUAUUAGACGUCUAGUUAAUGGUAUUAAUUGCCAUAUCAGCAAUUUUUGUUAGUCUUCAGGAAGUAAUGAUCAUAUCGAGUCAAAUUCAAAAUAUGCAAAUACUAUGGAAUUGCAAAAUAUUUCCAGCACAACAUUGUCAUGACAGGGAAAAGUUUAGGUACCGCCCAUACUAUUACCCAAAACAAUAGAAGAUAAUAUAAAUCAUCAACAUUGUCAAUUGGGUAUAUUAAUGAGAAAAGUUAAUUUACAGAGAAAGGUCCUUUAUGGGAAUCAUAUUUGCAGAUGGAAGUGAAUAAUGUAUGUUUUACCCCUACAUUCAGUCAUCCAAUACAAUUGAGUGAUUGUUUUAAUCUCCCUUAUGAAAAAUAGUGUAAACGUUUUCUUGUAAAUUACAAAAACCAAUCUUGGAUUUUCACCUCAAUUACUAACUUUGCAUUUGCUAAUUCCGAAUUCUACCCACACUUUCGAACAAGAGGUUUCAGAAAAUCUACACUUCGCACAAUCUAAUUUCCAUAGUCUGUUAGACUCAAAGAUCUAAAAUUUAGACCUUUUUCAACAUCAAGGCGCAAAACACAUGUUCGAAAUAAUAGAAGAUGAGAAAUAAAUUAUAAUAAAAAGCCAAGAAUGAUUUUUGUUAUUUUUUCUACAUGAUGAAAAAUGUAGUUGAGCCACAAAGGAAGUACAAACAAAAGGAUUAACAAAAAAAAAAUCAAUCAAUCCUAAACCUAUUUUAUGGAUGCUAGUUCAUAACUAACUUUCCAAUUUUGUCAAUUUAGUAUUAAACAUUUACGUGAAAUUCUAAUAUAGCUCUUUUAAUCACGUCAGCAAUUUCUAACUAAAAUUUUUCGGAAGGACUACAUUAGAAGUCUGCGUAAAGGUUCAGGAUCAAAUUAGUAAAAUUGAAACAUUUAUAACUGAAUUAAUAUUCAUACAAUAUUUAGGAUUGAUUAGGAAAUUUUUUUGAGGAUUAACUAUUCCAUUAUUUUCUUUUCUCUAAUAGUCCGUUUAAAUAGGGGAAUUAAAAAAUAUAUACUCAUAUAUAAAUUAAAAGAAAGUAUACAACUAACGGAAAAGAGAUGUGAUAUCUUAUGCCCAAUUGGUUUUCAUUUUGUUAGUAGCUCGAAAUUUGCGAUGUUGAUCAUCACGUUUGUCCCCCAAAAGUCAUAAAGUCAAGUUUCCCGUUUGCCCCAUCAAUUCAGUAUCUAGGAUAAUUCCAAGUUCUAUUCUCACGACCGCGCUGCUUAAUCAUAAUCUUCUGUCCAGGGAAAAGAACCAAAAAAAUUAUAAACCUUUUGUAUUUGUACCAAUUUAGUCCUAAAUUUUUUUAAUUAGACCAAUUUAGUUCUAAACAUUUUUAUAUUUGUACCAAUUCAGUCCAUCCAGCUAAUUUAAACCGGAAAUUGCUGACGUGGCCACGACAGUCUUAUUUGGUGCCAUGUGGACAAAUUUUACAAUUUUUGAUAUUUUUUUUAGAUAUUUUCAAUUAUUAUUUUUUUUUUCAUUUUUUCCUUUUUUUCUCUCUCUUUUUUUUUUUUCCUGUUUUCCUUUCUCCUUACCCCUCGCCAGUCGACUGUCGUCAGCCCCAAGCUAGUUGGGGAGAGGGCCCUCGCACCCUCGUUGGCCAAAACUGAGGGCGUCAACCCCCGCCCAGAUCUAGGCGAGGGCGUGGCACCCUCGCUCGUGGUGGGUGAGGGUGUCGUGCCCUCACCUAGAUCAUUAGGAUCAUUAGGCCCUCGCCUAGAUCCAGGUGAGGGCCACGACAGCCUCCCUUGAGGCGUCGCGGCUCUCCCACCAUGAGCUUGGGCCUUUGUGCCCUCACCUGUGGCUGACGAGGGCACGGAGGCCCUCGCCCUUGCUAGCUAAUGGGCAAGGGUUUUGGCCCUCGCCUAUGGCCGGCAAAGGGGCAGCGACCCUUGCUAGUGGCCAACGAGGGCACAGGGGCCCUCGCCUCGACUAGCCUGUGGUCAAUGAUGGUCAGCCAGCAAACUCAUUGGUCAAAGGAUAAAGAGAAAGGAAAAAGAAAAAAAUUAAUUAAAAAAUCUGAAAAAAUAUAAAAAAAAUUAUAAAAUUUGUCCAUGCAGCCCCACAUAAGACUGCCGGGGGCCACGUCAGCAAUUUCUGACUUAAAUUAAUCAGAUGGAUUAAACUGGUAUUAAUAUGAUAAUGUUUAUGACUAAAUUGAUCCAAUUGAAAAGCUUAGAUUUAAAUUGGUAUCAAUCAAAUAGGUUUAUGAUUUUUUUAGUACUUUUCCCAUUCUAUUCAAGUCCAAACGUGUCUUUAGUUAUUGCUUUGCCCAAGCUUUUGUAUUAUUGACAUAAUCAGAUCAAUGAUUGUGCCCUCCACGUAGCAAAAUGACGUCAAUGUACGGGAUAUAUAAUCCAUCUCUUAGGCAUCGAGAGAAAUGUUUCAUAGCGAUGUUAAAGUCUAGAUGACAAAUGCCAAAAGCUUCCCACUUUUUUUUGGGAAUUUAUCAUCUUGAUAUGGAAUAACACUACAUGAUACCCCUAAACUUUAUCGGCUUGUGUAAUAUCGUAUUUGAAUUUAUUUUUUUGCAAUCAGAUUCUUGAACUAUGAUUCAUUCGUUCACAUUGGAUCUUCCAUUAAAAGACCCAAAAAAAAAAAAAUGCUUAUGUGACCGUUAAAUGCCAGGUUGACUCAAUGUGGCUCCUACGUCCUCAUUAGAAAGAUUAAAGAAAUAAAAAUAAAAAAAUAGAUUUCUUCAUCGAAGGAAAUUUGGAGCGACAACACCAUCUUGAGCCGGAGCCCACAGGCAAUUUGUCGAUAGUGUUCGAGUUUAAUGAGGUGAGCGAGGAUGGGUCGGAACACUUUUCAAUAGAGGCCCGCCCGAUCGGCUUCGACUUUUUUGGCAAAGGCGGUGGCAUCCAGAGUGAGGUGGUGAUGGCUCGGAACUAGAGGCUCCCCUUCGGCGUCCCCUGGCUUUCUAAAAGGUGUCGCGUCGAUUUCCAACAACGUUGAAGAGAUUGGAGAUGACUGGAAAUUCCUCUGUCUUUUUUUUUCUUCUCAUUUUUUAAGUCAGUCAUAUUUCAGGCCUAACCCAGCCCAAAAUUAAAUUAAUGCCAAUCCAAGAGGACUUGUUUAGGCCCCAACCUUUUAACCGGGCCUGAAGUUGAUCGGGUGGGGCAUAUUUUUCAAUAAAUAAGCCACCCAUUUGCAACUAUGCUUCCCAUUACUAGACACCAUUUGGAACUCGCGAACUCAUUGCUAAUUUAAUCUUUAUCUGCAAAAGACAAACAAGCAUUCCUAUUCUGUAACAUAGAAAUGGCAACAAUUUAUUGCUUAUCCCUGUUCAGGAUCAAUAUUUUUCCCAAAAAUCAACCAACUAUUAUUAAAUUAACCCCAACAGCAGCCAGUCACGCUAUUUUGGCAAUAUUAACCCUAAAGCAAUGAAGAUAGUGCUGAAUAUUAAAGCAAGGGGAAACCAACCCUCACGAAUUUUACAUGAAAAUCUCAAUAUAGGAAAAAUCACGGGAUCACUCAAAGACUUAUACUAAUAACCAAGAAUAGUAGGAUACGCAAUAGUUUAUCCUUAAUAACACGGCCAGAGGCUCUUUAGAUUAGCAAAAUAUCAGCACCACAGAGGUGGAUUAACACAGAAGCAAGAAAGGUAUAACUGCUGCCAAAGAAAAUUAUGAGACAAUUUGGAGAGGAUUAACAAACAAAACCAAUCAAUUUAUAGAUCUUACCCUUCACGAACAACCUAUUGAAAUUUCCGCCAAUUCUAACAAAGUUUCACUAUCGAAUCUAGAUUACAACUUCUCUUCAAAGCAAAGCUUUCUGCCUCCUUUUCUUUGUGAAAACAAAUUGCUUGUCUCUCUCUCUCUUUCUCUCUCUCUUCUAAAUCAACAACAUUUAGCCCUAUCUUUUUAAUUAUUUUUUUUUUUAAGAUGAUGAGAUGGGCAAGUCUCCCCCUUCACCUCAUGAGGGAAGUUUCAUUAUACCCGCUUUAUCUAUACAAGAAUCAAGUUUCACCAUUGGUAAGACUUUAGUCGUCAUAUCAUAUCUAUUAUCAGCAGUGUAGACUUUCUCAAAUAAAAAGAGUUUCUCUUCUAAUUUAUCUUGGAUCCAAUGACAAGGAUAAGGCAUUAGUCUGGGUAAAGCAACCAAAUGCAUUUGAACAUCACUCUACCUUUCAGCAAUAUGACAAGGAUAAAGCAUCCCUGCAUAAUGAUGUCUUGUAUUUGCACGAAUGGAUUUGGUCUUGUUGGAGGCAAGACCACUUAUCUCAGCAGCUACCAAAGAGUUGAUAUAUCUAGAGCACUAUCAUGAAUCACUCUCUGAGGAUAAACACCCUCUAGGAAUGCCACGAGGGUGCCCUGAUGACGCCACGGACGAAGUGCCCUGUCCAUCGUCAAUCGCAUGUUGCCUAAGAAUGGACCUAACUAUUAGCAGUAACAAACCAAAUAGAAAUCUGUUACAGCAAGUAAGCAUUAACCCAGGUAACCAAAGUGGACUCUGCUUUUAGCAACAACUUCUGCAGAUUCCUGAGAACGCACGCUUGAUUUUUUGUUUGUCGCUUGUUCAAGCCUAAACCACCUUCACAUGUCAUAACUAAGGGUCAUGUUAUAACAAGUUUGUACUGGUGUUUAAUAUCCCUUCUCAAACGGCGAAAAUGCAACAUUGAAAUGGAGAGAUCAGUUUCCCUAUAUGUUGUCUAAUUUGCUUGCAAACCAUAAAUGGUGGAAGUUGAGAUCAAUGGUGUAACUUGACAAGCCUAAGUUUCAAACCACUAAAACAUGUGUGUUUACAGUAUUGUCUCUGUUAUCAUUUGAUCUUUUGUUUUGAUAGGGAAUUUUUUGGAAACAUACUAAAACUGACAUCAAAGGCACUUUAACGGCAAUAAUAUUAGGUUAUAUUAGUGUCGUGUUUGUCCAAGACUACUGGUACAUAGCUUCGAGGAAAUUUAACAUGAUAUCGACCGACUAAAUUAAAGAUCAACGCAGCCAAAUGCUAGACUCUUAAGAAAUACUGCCCAGUAGAGAGAUUUGUCAAUUAAGAAAUUUAGCCGAAGCUCUCUCUGUUUUUCUUUUACACAUUGACGGCCAGCAUAAUAAUAAUAUAAUGUUUCAUUUAAUCAUACCAUGUUAGAUAUUAUCUCUUGGCCACCAAAUGCACUUGGUCAAAUUCAGAUUUAGCAUUUGAUAAUAAUUAUGUUCUAUUUGUUUCACGGAAAAUGAAUGAUCCGAAAGACAUUUUUUAGAAAAUGAUCUCUUAUAUUGCUUAGAAAUAAUUAAUCGAUGAACAAUAUUUUCAUUGUCGAUAACGAUUUAUGUUUAAAUAUUUUGAUAAAAAGAAUUUCUUGAUCAUUAUAAUAUCUUUUUGAAAAUAUUUUUCUAGUCAUUCGUUGUGAAACAAACUGCACAAAAUGAAAAAAUAUUCAACCAAAGAAAAUGGACUAUUAGGCCCAGUUUUCAUUGGCCCAAAAAGCCUCUUGGGCUUAAUUAAACCUUCGUUCCUUUUUUUUUUUUUUUGAGCGAAAACCUUCGUUUCUUAGAAAAGCGAAAGAAAGUCACAUCUUUCAGUCGACCUCGAGAGCAUAUUUGGUUCUGAAAAGCGAAAGAAAAUAAUGGAGAUCUCUUGUGGUGAUCGAGAUAGAUAGUAGUGUAAGAAGGUGAGAUGAAGAUUUCAGAAAUGUUGUGCCGUAGUUGUGUUCAAGCCGUAAUUGCUGAUGGGUGUCUGUGGAAUUACUUCUGUUGGACGUGCUUGUUUGUAUAAACGGCGGUGCUUUCUUUGAAAUGGAGAUUAUUUUGUGCUUGAGGCAGAAAUUGGGAGUGCAAGAAAUUUGAGCAUGGACCCAUCUUCUUCAACUGGAAAGAGAGAUGUGCUUCAUUCCCUUUUUUCCAUGUUAAUAUGCAUGCGAUUGUUCAAAACGAAGUUGAACACAAUCUUUUGUUAAAUUUAAAGGAUCGUUACGAUCCUCGAUUACCUCACGAAAUUUCAUAAUUAUAUACUUUUUGCGCUCGAGUUGCUGAGUUCUUAUGGGGCAUGCUUAAGAUUUGAUUCCAUGUUCAUUGAUAUGUGGCGUCUCACUAGCAGAUGGGGGAGCUUGCCGGCGAUGAACAUGUCAAGUACAUACUGUUGUGAAAAUAUUGCUUCGAAAUGGGUUAAAUAAUGAAAUCGGAUCGAGUAAAACAACUCGGACUUUGAGGCAUGAUAUCACUUUCUUUAAGGAUUUAUUUGCCCCACAACGUUGCUAAUGGUCACCGGCAAAAAUCCUCCAGGAUACAACAAAGUCUCGGAUGAGAAUACUAAAUAGCAAUUAUAGUAUUUCUCCAGGGUCUCUCUAAGAAACAAUCGAAAAAUUGGCUGCAGUUUUUUCAGAAAGAAGACUCGAAAAAUGACCACACUUUUCUUUCCGAAAAAUGACAAGUAUAUAUAUGAAACAGUCUUGCAACUUUUCGUGAAAAUUGCGAACAAACACGUCUUUAGAAAAUUGUUUGGAUAAACAAAUGCGACUCUUCGGAAGAAGUCGAAAAACGAACAAUUACAAUCCUUCGGGAAAGUUAAAAACCGAAUAGGUAAUUUUCCAAAGGUUGUCUUGAAAAGACACAAACAAAAUUCGGAAUAAUUUUGUUAAUAAUAAUUUUUUUAAAAAUUUUUUAAAUAGAAUUUCGAAUUUUCAUUUAUAUUUCAUUUCUAGAAUUCUCAAAUUAAAAGGCAACCUUUGAACUAAAGAUAAAAAAUAAAAAAUAAAUAGGGCGCGCAGGCGUGCUAAGUGCGCCAAAUAAUCGCGCACCCGCACGCGGGUAUGAUGGGGUCUACCUCCACCUAAUCACUCCUUUAGGUACAAAAGGAAAUCCCACAUAUUUAAACUAACCCACUUGCUCCCACCUUUUCUAUGUGGGACAAAGUAAAAGGCACUCAUUUUGUUUUAACAAACAAAAUUCCAACACAUACUGUAUGUUGAAAACGUAGGUAUGACAUUUUUACAAUUCUCUUCUUGUUCUCUUGUCCACUUCCUGCCAGUUACUGGAAAUGACUUGGUUUUUCUGGAUCUGCUACCAUCCAGCAUUUCAGAGUUUACUGAUAUGAGUUUUUGGGUUGAUCCUGCACUCAGAAAAAGGAUAGUUUUUGAGUUGCUGGUUAUGGAGCACUUUAGAUUGAAUGAAGCAUGUUGGGGAUAGACCACUGUAGAUCUUCUUGGAAAGGUUGGCAUUGUGGAUUCAAAUGAAGUUGUUUCCUGCAAUGCCAGCAUGAGUCUGGUUUGCAUUUAUUUGUCUCUCGGCUUCUUUUUCGCGAGUACCCAUGAAAAACAUGCAGCUAACAGAACCACCACUCCACAUUCAAUCAAAUAUAUCUUAUUUGACAGUAUGCUUAAGAUAUCAGCUUGGGAAUAACAAGUUCCAUCUAUUACAAUGACGACCACAUCUUAGGAGUGAUUAGUGUUGCUUUAUUUAUUUAUAUUCUAAAACUUGACUCUAAAGAACAAAGUACGAAUGACACUUAGGGCUGCUUGUGCAGGUGGCUUUGGUGCCAAAUAUUGGACAUGAUCCGCAUCUGCUGUAUGCUCUCAGAGCCGUGCAAGUACUGGCCCUUUAUGACAAAUUAGAUGUUCUUGACAUCAAUAAGGCGACAGAUUGUAUCCUUGGGAAUAGAGUCUUAGAUUCACAAGUUCCUUGAUGAACUUACCUUAGGCUCUGUUUUGCAUUUAUAAGGUCAGAUUAUGUUGUGGAAUUUUAUAGCGUGUAUAUUGCUAACCAGACAUUGAUGAGGGGGGCUUUCUCUAUGGAGAUUGAAGUUGCUANNNNNNNNNNNNNNNNNNNNNNNNNNNNNNNNNNNNNNNNNNNNNNNNNNNNNNNNNNNNNNNNNNNNNNNNNNNNNNNNNNNNNNNNNNNNNNNNNNNNNNNNNNNNNNNNNNNNNNNNNNNNNNNNNNNNNNNNNNNNNNNNNNNNNNNNNNNNNNNNNNNNNNNNNNNNNNNNNNNNNNNNNNNNNNNNNNNNNNNNNNNNNNNNNNNNNNNNNNNNNNNNNNNNNNNNNNNNNNNNNNNNNNNNNNNNNNNNNNNNNNNNNNNNNNNNNNNNNNNNNNNNNNNNNGAUGAUCUCCUUGGUCAAAGUGGUUAGACAACGCCACGAGACCGAAGGAUUAGCAUGGAAUAGUGAGACUCAAUGAAACAACAAUACCCCCACCUUUUGUAUGAGGAUUGGUAAAGGUUUAAAUUUCGAGGACGAAAUUUUUUAUAAGAGGGGAAGAUUUGUGACAUCCAAAAUAUUCGGUAUUAAUUUCAAUUGAGUUAAUCAGGGCAUUUCUAUGCAAUUGGAGUCGGGGAUUAAAAUGGAAUACAAAAUUGAGAUGCGAGAUGAGCUUUUGGAUGAGGAGAAUAUUUAAUAGAAGCAUUGAGGCCAAUUGAGAUGGAUUUAAAGUAAAUCAAGUGAUUAAUGGAAGCCAAUUGUUUCAAAACUCGUAUGCCCAUAAAACCAAAAAUUUAAAUUACCUUAAAGCUUCUAGAAGGGCCAUUUUUGGCAAGGAAAAUGGAGUGGAAGACAGCUGGAUUGGUGGGGCCAAAGAGAGAGAGAGAGAGAGAGAGAGAGAGAGUGUGUGAGAGAGAAAGGGGAAAUUGAUUUUCUCUUCCUCCCCUCUCUCCUCCGUCGACGGAUCCUCCCCCAUCUUCUUCAUUUUUUCUUCAAAAACUCCAUGGGAGCCAAAGACCAGCGACGACCGAGCUGCCAUCACCGCCUCUCGCUGCCGUCGUCGCGCGCCCGCAAGCCACCGGAGCUGCCGCCAUCGCUGCUUCGCCCUACCCGCGCGCAUCUCCGCCCCUUCUCCCUCCUCUGGGUCGGACAAAGCAGAAGCAGAACAGAGACCAGCUGCGUUGAGGGUUUUAGGCGCGCCGGAGCCAAGACCGCCGCCGCACCGGAGCUGAACCGCCUGCGCGCCCGCCGCUCGCCGCCGUGCACCGCCGCUCCGCUCCCUCGCACCAGGCGACCUGCCCGAGCGAACCAGCCUCUGUCCAGCUCGGUUCUGCUCCGGCCAGCCACCUCCGGCCAGCGCCCAACUCCGCCCGACCUCCCCGACGUUCCCCUCGCCCUCCGCCGGCCUUGCUUCGCCAUCUCGGCCCCUGAAUCAGCCUCGUUUGGCCAUGAACAGCAGCUGGAAAAAUGGGUUUCCAGCACUGUUCAAGGCCGUUUUGGGCCGUUUCCCGGCCCCGAACCCGAGCCGUGCUUUGGGGACAAUUGUUCCUCGCGCCGCCGCCGUCGGAUUGAUCCGAUUUGCGCGCGAUUUGGUGAGUAAUCUCACUAAUCUUGGAUUAGUUGGCUAAUUAUGCUUAAGGUUGGUUUAGUUUUAAUUAAUUAUGUUUAGGUUGUUAGAUUAGAAGUAAGUAGCAAUUAUUAGUCAAUUAUGAUGCGAUUUAAAUAAAUUGAUUGUGCAAUUAACAAGUAGACGUGGUCUACUAUUUAUUGGGAGUGUCUCGGGAAUUUUCGGACCCCUAAUUGAGCUUCAAUUUAAGGAUUCGGGCCUAAGUGAGAUUUUUGGGCAUUUAAAUAUUAAUUUUCGGAAAUAAAUUAAAUAAUUAUUUAUUUUCCGAAAAUUCAAGGGAGAUGGUCCAGAACCGGAACAUUAUGCGGAUGACUGUGGUGAAGUCCGUUUAUUUAAUCGGGCUUUAUUUUGAGCUAAAUUGAAUUUUUAAUAUUAAUUAUUUAAUUUACGAAAUUAAUUAAUUAAUUAUUUAUUUCCUGAAAAUUCAACUGGGAUGGCCCGUGACCGGAAAAUUAUGCUGAUGACCGUGGUGAAGUCCAUUUAUUUAAUUGGACCUUAUUUUGAGCUAAACGGAUUUUUUAAUAUUAAAAAUUAAUUAAAUCAUUUAUUUUUUGGAAAUUAAGAUUUUGAUGGCCGACGACCGCAAUCUCGUGCUGAUCGUCGUGGUGCAGUCCGUUUAUUUAUUUGAGCUCCACGUUGUAUGGAAUUAAAUAAAUUGUGAUAUUUUAGGGAUUUACCCUAAAUUGAUUGGAAUUGAUUGAGAUUGAAUUAUUGAUUGGUAAAUGGCCAAGUAUGUUUAUUCAGCAUUUAUAAUGCUUUGUUGAGUUGUAAAGUGAGUAUAAUUGUGAGAGUGAUUUGAAUAUACUUUUGGCUGAGACCGAUCGGGUAUGUUAAAUAUCGUGUGAAAAUUUAGUGAGUUGAUGAGUAUGUGGGGAUUUAUUCCAAAAUUGAUCAAUGUCGGUAUUCAAUUAGAAUUUGACUGUGAGAGGUUGUGAAUUGAACCUCGGAAACCGCCGAAGUAUGGCUAUACCAGUUGGGCUGAGAUUUGCCACCGAAUUUGGAGUCGGUCGCGCCUGAUAAGGCCGUAAUUGCCACCUAUUAAAGGUCGCGCUUGUUAAGGCCGUAAUUUGCCACCCGAUAAGGGUCGCGCCUGUUAAGGCCGUAAUUUGCCACCCGAUAAGGGUCGCGCCUGUUAAUGCCGUAAUUUGCCACCCGAUAAGGGUCGCGCCUGUUAAUGCCGUAAUUUGCCACCCGAUAAGGGUUGCGCCUGAUAAGGCCGUAAUUUGCCACUCGAUACGGAUCGCGCCUGAUAAGGCCGUAAUCAGCCACCUAUUAAAGGUCGCGCCCAUUGGGCCGUAAUUUGCUACCUAAAGAUAGGUCGUGUCCUUCGGGACUGUAAUUUGUUGCCAAGAAAUUUGGUAGUCUAUGCUUGUGAAGUCGUGAGUACGAUUUGAACUUGAAUAAGGGAAACGACUGGGGAAUGGUCGAAUUGACAUGUAAUCGACUAGGUUGAUUGAUCAUUGCUUUGAUAUGAUGUCGUGAAUUGAUUGACUGAAUGGAAAUGAUCAUAAGUGGUCUUGUUGGCUGGUAAUCGAUUAGGUCGAUUUGAUCGAUGCUUUGAUCUGUGAUGUGAUUGCUUAGGUGUCUAUUUGACCUGUGCUAACAUGCAGGUAGGACAUGAGGCCAAGGUACGUCUUCUGCCUUAUGCGUGUAUAGGCAGCCUAUAGUAUAAUAGUUUACUAAUUGGACUUAGUGGGGUAGAACUCGCUGAGACGUAGUCUCAUCCCAGUUUGGGGAAAAACAUUUCAGGACCCCGAUGAGGAGCCGAUGAGGAGGAGUCUGAGAAAGAGAACUCGGAGGUGAAACUUGAGGAGAAUGAUUUUUAGAAGAAGAAGAUAAUCCCGAAAGGGGCCUUGAGUAUGGCCUGGAUGGGCUGAGAGUCUAUCUUCUUUUGAAAUCUCCAUUUUGAUGUGAAUAGAGAUAGAGUAAAAAGUUGUGAAGUAUUCUGGUUUGUGUUUUGUAUAAAAGUUUGGUUAUAAUUUUCAAUAUGAAAAAUAUGGCCCUGCUUUUCUAUCCCAUUGUUUUAUUGUCUGGGGAUUUAUAACUGCUUCCGCAUGUGCUUAAUAAACUAAAGGGUCGGCGAUACUUGUCCUGGGAUAUCGCAUUAAAAAAAAAAUCGACCAAGUGAGAAGAAUGUGUGCGUGCCCGAGGAUCGGGGCGUGACACAACACGCCGGCACAUGAUUACAAUCAAUCGAGCAGUCCAGAGAAGCAUAGCAACAAAACAAGACCAGGCUUUCAAAUAGUCAAACAAUUGCAAGAAAGCAGACCCUUAUGCAACUAUUACCAUAUGAAGCUAGAGCUAGAGCUCGAGCUCAUGCUUAACAACACAAAGAUAAAUCACACGAUUACAUUCAACUAAACACCAGCUGCCACACAACUCGUACCUGUUCUUCAACGAUUAACUGGUGAUCCAGAGGUUGACUUCAGACCCAUGACUCCCGCCACCGAUGGGAGUUAAUGAAUGCCCCAAAUCCCCCAGCUGAGCGGUACUGAAGAAGAAAAUGUGCAUAGAGUGAAAAGUGGCACUGGAGAAGGACUGGAAGCUCACGGACUAAGGACUCGAAGCUCGCGGACUAAGGACUUGAAGCUUGCGGACAACGGAACCUGGGAAAGGAGAGACGGCAGCGAACGACGGACUGAAGCUUGGGAGGAGCAAAUGAGUAGCGACGAGGAUUGGGCGCCAAGUCACCGAGGAUCGAGCGACAGCGAUUUGCUUGAGCAGCGGGAGACAAGAUGAAGAAAACGUGAAAAAGAACUCUAAUCCCAAUUCAAUUCGGGAUUUUCUUCAAUUUUUUACUAUUUACAGAUUUUGGACAAAAUUACUCUUGUUUUAGCUGCCGAAAAAUAUGGGCCACCGACUGACGAGCUCGGAUCUUUAUUUGAGACUGAUUUACUCAUUUAGGUCAUUUUUUCGAGAAAAUGGCUUCACUUUAAAGAUGCAUUUAUUUAACAUAAAACUCAAAAUUUGGAAAAACAUUAUUUAAAAGAUGAUUGGUCAUAUCUGUUACAAAAAUUAACAGACAAAUAUAUUUUCUUUAAUAUCAAUAAUUUAUGCCUAGUUAUAUUCUUGGUGAUAAAUAUCUUUUCAUUCAUUCAUUUUUAUAAAAAAUAUAAGCAAUUAUCUUUUGAAAAAUAUUUUUUAAAUCUUGAGUUUUUUUCUCAAACAACCGAACCAAUCCUUUCAUUUCAAAUUUUCCCCUCUUGCUUUCUCCUUGUUCUUGUGCCGACUCUGUCUCUGUCUUCCUUUUCAUCCCUUUGUUUUCCCGGUUCUGCAGAAAGAAAUAAUAAGGUGAGUUGAGGUCUCCUGGGACUAAAUUUCUCUUGAGAAAGGCCCUUUUGUUAUGGAUGGUGAGGGAUGUAAGAUCCCCAACCUCGCCACCGAAGUGGACACACACAACAUAUGGAGAUUCCUAGUAAGAUGGGGAAUUUUAAUAAGAUUUUUCUUGGUUGCACGUUUUAGAAUCAGUUUAUUGUCUCUCUUCACUAGACUAAAGCAGAAAUAGAAAGCAAGCAAAGCAGAAGAAAAAACGUAUCAUCUAUGAAUAGAAAGAAGGCGCACCGUUUUCUGCGGAGAAUCUUCUGUUUCUGUUUCAGAGUCCACUGUUUCUAUUUCGGAGUACAUUGUUUCUGUUUCAGAGUACACUAUUUCAGUUUCAGAGCUCCACGCUUGUUCUGCUCCAUUCAGAAUCUUCUCUCUGUAACAAUCCCAACGGUCAAACUUCCACCCGCCGUAAGGAUCACGACAGUCGGGUAACUCCCCGCUACCUGUUAUGAGUAUCGAGCAAUUAUCUGGUAUUUUGGAGCUCGAUGAAUCAAGAAUCCUUCCCAUUGAUCUGCACCCCCAAAUUUCCAAUUCACCCAAAAACCCUAGUUCUUCAAUGCCCUCAACAACCUGCAGGCUCGGGCACUGGUGAAUUUGUAACCGCUUCAAGUUCUUCGAGUUUGACAAACCGCCUAAGCUUUUUAACGAAAGGCACUCUUUAACAUCAAAUUCUUCCAAUGAUUCGAACGCAGUAACAAAUUGAAUAUCCUGCACCUCAGGGAACCCUGACAGAAGAAAUUUUACAAGCAUCUUUUGGGAGCUUGGGAAAAAGAUCGCUCCCCUCCAAUGAUCAAUCAACUUGGGAUCUUGUAGUCCACUGCACCCCGGCUCCUCCGGCUGACAAACCAAACUCUCGGAAGGUCUGCAGUCCUGAAUACAUGAUCUUUCUGACGAUUCUAAGACAUCGAGAAAUUGAACAUCAAGUUGCCUGGACACCUUGUUUUCUUUCGGUUUUCCCAAACUUGUUGGAAGGAAUGGAGUCUCCUUUUCCGAUGGAGGAAGCCCAUCGAGGUGUACUUGUGUCCCUCGAGUUUCGUAGAGCUCUAAAACUAUCAAAUUUGACGGGAGGUGUUUGAAAGUUGGCAAGUCUAGUCCGUAUAGAGUAAGUUCUUUCAGUAGAGAAAGGGAACCCAACUCUGUAGUUGGUGCGCGGACAUUUGUAAAGCAAAUGUGCAGCUUGCUCACUUUGGUUAAACUCCCAAUCCACCCCAAGUCGCCAGUUUGGAAUUCAUUUGAUGGGUGUCUAUGGCCAGUUUGGAAUUCAUAUGCUGGGUGUCUAUGUUCAUAACGACCAGAUAGGAACAGUUCAGCUAGAUUAGUAAGGUAUGAGAGGUCAGGGACAGUAAGCAACAACUCAGAUGCCAAUUUAAGAGUGGUCAAACUUCUGGGGAGUUUCGGUAACUCUUGUAUCUUAUAAAACCUCAAGUCUAGUGUUUUGAGUUGACAAAGCUUGCUCAUUGUACUGGGCAGCUCUUCAAUUUGUGUGCAUGAUGCAUUGAUAGAUAACAGGUUUCGUAGUCUAUCAAUGGAAUUCGGUAAUCUUGAAAUAUUCGUGCUAGAUACAUCCAGUUUCAUUAACUUCUCUAAUUUUGAAACUGAGUCGGGGAGUUCAAUUAGGUCAUGACAACUUUUAAGAGAGAGAUGUUGCAGAUUCUGUAGCUUUCCAAUUUGUUCAGGCAAUUUUCUCAGUCUGUAACAAGAUUUAAUUAUCAAGUGAGUCAGCCACUUUAGCUUCCCAAUAGAGUGGUCAAUUCGCAUCAAAGACCAAAAUGAAGAAAUAGCCAACUCCUCUAAAACUGAGUCCUCACGAAAAGUUGGUGUCCCAUUUAUCAACUCAUUGUACCUAAUAGUGAGAACCUUCAAUUUCCUUGCCCCCUACAAAAGCCAAUGAAACAUCAGGACCAAAAAGAAAUAACUAUGGAUGUAGGCUACCAACGAGAAAAUUAGAUUAUAAAUCCAUCAUAUUUUGUCCUUCAUUGAAUGAGAAAAUUAGACUCAGAGGGAAACUGGCAUACCUCGAUUAGGCUCUGAAGCACAUCUUUUGUGAUAUCAAGCCCACUAAGAUUCACCACAACUGCGUUUUCUAGAUGAAACAGAUUGGUUGCCUCCAAACGUUUAUUAGAGUGGACAUGGGUAUAAUCAGUAUAAGCGUAACUCAAAUCGAUCCAUCUCAAAUCGGAAAGACAGCCCGUAAAGUCACCUUGGCAGAUUACCUCAUACAACCGAAGAAUCCGCAAAUGCGGGAACCACUUAAUUUGCUCCGAAGUGAUAGUUUUACAAUCCCACGGUGCUGAGAAACUGAGUGCUUCAAAGCUUUCCUUGUUCUGCCAACGACAUUGAGGAGCAGAAGCAGGAAUUUGUCAAUAUCCCACUAUUUUAUUUCGUAAAAGAGAAGAAAAAACGAAACAGAAGAGUAGCUCCCAAAUAAAAAACGUGAGUCCUCAAUUAAGAUGAGGGUAUAAGCAAUUUUCUAUUCAAAUUAGGCCAUUCUUUACCUUUCUUGAUCUUAAUUCGCAAAUGAUGUCGUCUUCAUCCCACAAUCCGAUACGCUUUUCUCUGGCAAUUUUCCUUCCAAGGUCUCUAAAUUGAUCAUGCAUCCAAAGGCUAUUAUUGUCUAACUCCUUUAUCAUGCAUCUGUUAAUGAGGACAUCGAUGGCAUCCACUGGGUACAAAUUACAAGCUUUCCACACGUACAUUGGAUUAGUCUUACUCUUACCAACGAAAAAGCAUGCAAUAUCAAGGAAUAUCUGUUUUUCAUUCUGAUGUAAGGCAUCAUAGCUAAUCUUAAGCUUUGCCAAGACAUCCUCAUGAGGUGUUUUUUGUAGCCUCUCUAGCCACUCUUCCCAUAGCUCUCUCUUUUUCCCAAAAAGUGAUGAACCAAUUGCUUGAAGAGCUAAAGGUAGUCCACAUGUAGUAUCGACAAUGCCCUUUGAAAAAGCGCAAUAAUCAGCUGGAGGAGAGUCUUCAUUGAAGGCAUGCCUACUAAAAAGUUUAAGUGCAUCUUUACCGAUCAACCCCAU